Molecule: long non-coding RNA, 50604 nt
Filed under: Setaria viridis
Lineage: Eukaryota; Viridiplantae; Streptophyta; Magnoliopsida; Poales; Poaceae
Description: long non-coding RNA (SVIR_LNC002689)
Source: RNAcentral
UUUUUUUUUUUGCGUUGUUGAUUGAUUUGCGGCUCAUAAGCAUCCCAUUCCAUCAGUGAAAUUUCUUAAAAUUGCCUGCGUAGUCAACAGCUCACAAGCAUGGCCACGACCGUUCCUGCCCGUUGGCCCACCCUGGGUCCAUCUGAGGACCACAUGUAAGCGAAAGAAGCUCCUCUUUCCGGUUUGCCUGUCUUUGAGGCAGGCAUGCAUGCACGGGGUCUGCCUGACUGUCUGCGCUGCCAGUGGUGGCUUUGGUUCUCUCCCUCCUCUCCGCUGUCUCUGCCUGGCCCGCCCCGCCUCCGCCUGGGCGCCUGCUGCCGGCAGCGGCUUUAAUCGUUCGUGUCUCAAGAAACGGGAAAGUGUCGCGAAUCCAGAGAGAUAGUCAAAGAUCUCGCCUGUUGCUUUCCUUUGAAUUUCGGCAGCUCGGUCUCUGCGGCAGCCAGCACCCAGCAGCCAAACGGUGUUUGAAUUGACACCUUGGGCUUGCGCCGCCGUCCUCAGGUCUCUCGUCCAGGUGACACUAGGGACGGCGAAGAACAGGGCUUGGUCGUCUCGCUCUUGAACCUUGAUGACCUCCUCCAAUCCUGUGCCUGAUGCCAGUCUUGAUGUAACGGUAAUAGUAAUCAAGUGACAUGUCAACUUCCACGCAGCUGAACAGCACAAAAACAUUUUAUUCAGUUCAGACGGCACGAUGACUUUGCAAGCUUAGGCCAAAAACCAAUAGUUGGAGCAUGUCCUUUCGUAAAGGGGAUAGUUUAAGCAUGGAGAGGAAUACUUGGGUUUUCCUGUCACAUUCGUCUUCAGUCCUCAGAUCGAUGUGCGGAUGACGGCUCCUAAACUUGUACCAUUAUCGUAGGAGCGUGUGACUUUUCCAGCAACGAACAUGAUCUGUUUGUUCGAGCUGCAACUUUUAAGCUUUUCAAAAGAGAAGGCUACAUCACACUUGAGUAUUUUGAGGAGCUCCUGCACUUGAUUUUUCAGCCAAUCGAUGAACGCCACGGCUCUGCUUCUCUCCCCCUCCGGCAAUUGUGCCGACGAGACAUUAGUGUUGGGUUUCGGGAUUUGGGUUUAAGGGUCGGGGGUUCGGGUUAGCUGUGGCAUCCGAACCUAGAAGGAUGCUUGGGGAGGCUUGCCGGCUGGCGGUGGUGGCGGUCGAGACGGUGGGGGAGCGAAGGCGGAGGCGUCGAGCUUCAAUCUUUCGGUCAGUAGCGGUCGGGGACGGUGAAGGAAGCGGCGUUGCACCCCUGGAGCCGGGCGGGCGGUCAGCGGCGAGGGGAACUCGGAUGAACAUGAUGAAGAUGACAUCGGGAGGAGAAACACCGGAGAAGUUUUUUUGGCCACGGUGGAGGGUGGCGGCGAGGGUACCACCGGAGCCGGAAAGGGAGGCGGGGCGGCGGGGGCUCGCAUCGCUCAGGCCUCGGGAAGAAACUCGUCAAACCUCCCGUGAACAGAUAAGGCAAGUUAAUGUCUGGCCUCCCGUAAAAAGAUAAGGCGCAAGAGAGGGAGAAACGGCAAAAAAAAUCAAGUGUCGUGACCCCUUGAAACACUCGAGUUAGACGUAGACAGCCCUUUCAAAAAACUGUUUACUGAUUUUUUGAUUCUGAAAAGCCAACACUAGUUUUUAGAAAAUGUGUUUAGCUUUCUGAGCUUAAAAAGUUAUAAAAAACUCAUAAAACUAAGUUUUGCAGUUUUUCAUAUAAACUUAGUUUUUCUGGACUUCUAGAUAAGAAAUUCAUUGUUUGUUUGAGCAUUUUUUUUUGACGAUCAAUGGGGGGGAAGCACCCCACCUGAUUCAUUAAAGUUUUUCAUCGGCCUUUUGGAGGCCAAACAUCAUACAUGUGAGGUUCAGCAUAAAACGAGGGGGGGGGGAGGAGCAGUAAAGCAAAGCACAUUACAGGGGCAUGUUACAUUGAGCUAAAAACAGAACACCAGGCAUCUGCUGUCGCUCGGUCGCUGGGCUUGAAGCGCUCCCUCCAUAGACGGGCUUCCUCGCGGCAGGCCAUCCAGAAACGUUGCUGCGAGGCAGGAGCUCGCUGGAAGAUGACAUCAUUUUGGUGUUUCCACAGGCUCCAGCAUAGAAGAAUCAGAAAGGUGGAGUAGUGUUUUGUCAGCGCUAUUGCCGGACGGGGUACAGUCCAUAAGCUUUUAACGGAGGAGGCGCUAGUAUUCAUCCCCAAGGAGCUCCAGAUGUUUGCCGCGAAGGAACACUGGAAGAUGAUAUGGUCGCAGGUUUCCUCCAGGCCGCAUAGCUCGCAUGAUGCUUCCGUCAGAAUCUUCUUUUUCUGCAGAUUGGCGUGACAGUGAAUUCGUUCCUGCACUAACAGCCAAACGAAGAACUGUACCCUCGGCGGAGCUCGGUUCACCCAGACGAACUUGACGAAUGGCGGGGCAGGUGAUCCAGCAGUUUGCACUAGCUUGCCAUAGACAUCUCGCGCCCGGAGGUACGAAGUGUCUCUGGCCAGGGGGGAUGACCGGAGGUCUGCUCCUUCCCGGAGCACAACCUGUUCCAACAGUGGCUCCAAUUCAGAGAGCUCCUCAACGGCCCGACAGGACAAGCGCGGGGCGAGGUGUAUCUGCAAGCCGUCAGCCAGCACUUGUUUGACAGAGAGCUGGGUGUUGGUGGCGUGGGAAAGGAGGAGGGGGAACAGGUCACACGGCCGUCCACCGGGCAGCCAGCGAUCGAGCUAGAAACUUGUGGACGCUCCGUCUGAGACUACAGAGCAGGUGAGAGCCCGGUAGAUCGGUAGUAAGGCAUCCAAAUCACGCCAGUGUGAUCCCAGGACAUCCCCUUGCAGAUUGCUGAUAUUCACAUGCUCACGCACCCAUAGAGCCCAGGAGGAGCCGGCAGGGUGAUGCAACCUGUGAAUAUGUUUGAGUAGAGGCUCCUGUUUUGUAGGGGGAGAUUUUUGAGACCGAGUCCCCCUUGCUCCUUCGGUUGACAUGCUGUUUCCCAGGCGACAAGGCACUGGGCACUGCUGACCUUGAUGGACAUGGUGAUGACUCAUGGUUAUAAGCGGUGGCUAAUUCGUUGCCAGAUUUUUUUAAAAAAAACAAAUACGUUAUACAAAUGAAUGGAGUGCUAGCCAGUGAACAUGUUUAGGCUCCAGUCCUCGGAAAGUUACCUGCAAAUAUAUUGCAACAAUGCUGGACGCCGUCGUGAACCGGCGCCCAUAGAGGCGCACGCGGUGAAGCGCGCAUGAGACGGCACAGCUGCAUCCUGCAACACAAAGCAUAUCUGCAUACGCUAUGUGCGAGUUGUCACUUGUCACACUGUGUGCACAUAAAUUUAACGGCAGCAUUUCCGGAGCGAAAAUGGUUGCAACUGAAUAAUCCUGUCUGAUCCAAAUAAAUGGUCGAAAUCGAAGCUAAUCGUGGUCGGUUAUGAACACGGGAAACAUUCACGAGUUCCUGACUGCCCGGCAAAUUAAACUAGGAGUUCGAGUAUAUAUAUGCACGCUGUCACGAAAGACGAAACUGACUAGGAGCAGUAGCUGAUCUUAUUACAAGGAUACCACUUGCAACACCACUACCGUAACAGUACGUUACAAACCUAACGCUAAGGAAGCUCCUGCCACGCGCGUCGCACGUGCCUACCUCCUGCGCACCGCCAGCGUGCCAGCAACGUGUCAUCAGUUCAUCCUGUUCAUUAAAAAAAACGUGUCAUCAGUUCAUGCGUCAACCACGUACCGGACGAGGGCGUCCAGGAACGCGCGAAGCGCGCCGAGCACGCCCGCGGCCGGACCCGAGCGGCGGUAGUGAAGCGGCGGGUUCCCCGGCGACGGCGGUGCGAGCUACUGCCUGUUGGAAUAUACUCCGAAUUUUUAAAGGUUUCUGUAUACACCAACCAUUAGACAUCUAAUUUGGGAUGCAUUUUGUGGUAGCAUGCUUGCAUGCAUGUUUAUAUGUUGCAUGCAUGAGUUUUUUCAGCCAUUUAUUGUUUGAAUUGACUACAUGCUCCGGCCUAUAUAAACCAAUUGAAUGUCAUACGAUAGAGGGUAACACAAUUAGCAGAGUCAUUCUGCGUUUCUAUUCCUCUUGUAAUCCGUUUGGGUUGAGUUAACCACUCAUUAUAAAUCCCUAACAUUUGUAGACCUCCAGAUAUAUUCAACAGUGAAGAUCAUUUUUGUGUAUCCGUGUCUUGCUUCCAAAGGAGUUUCCACAUAAAUUUGUGUCUCUUGUUGUUGUAAUCAUACUUGUUUCGCCAGUUAAUUUCUAACAAGUGGUAUUAGAGCUAAGUUCAUUGCUAGGUUUCUUCAACAUGGCAUCCUUGAAGUAUGAUCUUCCAUUUUUGGAUCGAGACACCAGUUUUUCUCUAUGGCAAGUUAAGAUGCAAACGAUUCUAGCGCAUACUGAUCUAGAUGAUGCGCUGGAGCAUUUUGGUGGGAAGAAUGCCACUGAUUGGUCUGACGAGGAAAAGAGAAAAGAUCGUAAGGCCUUGUCUCAAAUUCACGUGCAUUUGUCAAAUAGUAUUUUGCAGGAAGUGUUAAAGGAGACGACGACUACUGCACUUUGGUUAAAGUUGGAGCAACUAUACAUGACAAAGGAUCCCAUUAGUAAGAUGCACCUUAAGCAAAAGUUAUUUUUGCAUAAGUUGCAAGAUGGAGGAAAGGUGUUGGAUCAUCUUUCUGAAUUUAAAGAGAUCGUUGUUGAUCUUGAGUCAAUAGAGGUAAAGUACGAUGAAGAGGAUUUGGAUCUAAUCCUUUUGUGUUCCCUGCCUAGUUCAUAUUCGAACUUUAGAGAUCCAAUAUUAUAUAGUCGUGAUACUCUCACUUUUAAUGAAGUUUAUGGAGCCUUGCAAGCUAAAGAAAAGAUGAAACAAAUGGUAUCUGCUUAAAGUUCAAAAUCACAAGCAGACGGCUUGUUUGUUCGUGGUAGGAUUAUGGAGAGAAGAUCCUCUAGUGGAUCUAGAGGUAACAGUUCAAAUGGCUAUAGGGGUCAUUCACAGUUUAGAGGCAAAGGCAAAAAGUUCUGCAAUUACUGCAAGAAAACCACUCAUUAUAUAUCUGAGUAUUAUAAAUUGAAAAUUAAGGAAAUGCAAAAUGGCACAUUUAAGCCUAAAGGUAAAACUGGAGAUGAAGGUAAUGCUUCAGUUGCUGUUAAAAGUGGCAAUGAAGGUGAUGUGCUUGUUGCUUUUGCUGGAUAUGCAAAGAUUAAUGAUGAAUUGUAACACCCAUAAAAUUUACCAACCAAAAUCACUCGCUAAAAAUCUUUUUCAAAAUCUUUCACCGUUUGAGCUCUCAAAAAUCCCAUCUUCUCGGCGAUUCCGCCAUCCCGGCACCAAAGCUGACCACCCUCCAUUUUCUCCUUUUUCCCUCUCCGCGCGUCACACCGCGUGCCUGACGGAAGACCGCCGUGCAUGCCCGUGACCGUUCCCGCAAUCACCGUCGUCUCUCUCUUUUCCUUCUUGUUUUCCUUCCCUUUUUUCCCUUCCUUUUUCUCCUUUUCUUUUACCUCCUCUCUUCCUUUCUCGUUUUCCUUUCUUCUUCCCUAGCCGCACACCACACACCAGAGCCUCUCCUGCCGCAUGCCGGCCCCACCUAGGCCCGCGCACGCCACCACCUGUGCAUGGCGCCUGCUCCUUGGGCCCACCAGCGCGCGCCCACCCCACCGCUAGCGUGCCCCUGCCCGCCCCCCCCUCGCGCCACCGCACCCCCACGCGCCCUUGCACCCGCUCCCACGGCCUGGUGCCUGGACCCACGCUGCUCCCUCCCUAGCUCCGCUCCACGCCAGCGCCUCGCCUUGGCCCCGCUCGCCUUUGGCCAUGCGCCGCGUAGCGCCGCUGCCCCGUGCCCACCCGCCAACACCACCGCGCCGCAUGAUGCCACGCCCGUCCCGCCCAGUGACGCCGCGCCCCGGCCCGCCCUUCAGUGCCUGCACUUGCCUCCCGCGCAACGCCGCACCCCCUGGACACCGCGCGCCCGCCCAACGCGUGCACCGCCGCGCCGUACUACGCCGCUCGCCGCCCGACACCGCCCCUCUAGCCGCGGUCACUGCGCCCUCCGCCAUGCCGCACCGACACCGCACCACGACAGCACCCUGACCAUGCCAUCCACGCGCAUCACCGCUCGAUCACGCUACCGCGUCCUUGUUCGCCUCGCCGUGCAAGACCGGCCCCACCACGCCGCGCACAUGGAGCUCCACCUCGCCACGCCACCGUCCUGUGCGCCUCCUGUGCCCGAGCAUCCCGGCCGCCAUUAACUUCACCGUUCCUGUGCGCUGCCCAUCGGCAGCCCCCUACUCAUCGCCUCCAGCCUAUAAAAGGGCCUCCGCUCCGCUCUCCACUCCACCACCGAGCUUCCUAGACAACUCCCCCUCACUCCCGAGCUUCCAAUGCGCUCCCGCCGUCUCCCGCUCGCCGCCGCGGAGCCGCCUCCUUGAGCCAUCCCAGCCCGAGGUAAGGAGAGGAAUGGAACCCCCUCGGCCUCCUCUCCAUUUUGCCCCUCUUCCCAGCCGUUGUCGUGCCCCAACGCGACCUCUUCCCAACCAUGCCGCCCCUUUAGUUUCUUCCCGUGCGUGAUUUUGUCUGGAGGAGGAAGAAAGGGCAGUUCUGCAUUUUCACCCAUCCGUUUAUUCCUUUUUGCAUCCAGACCCUCCCACCUCCCUCUUUCUCUUUUUCAUCAGAGACCCUCCCACCUCCAAAAAUAAUUACAGAAAAGUUCCUGACUCCUUACAAAUAAGCCCCUGAUCCUCUCAUUAGCCCCUAAAAUCACCUUUACCUCAUCAUUUUAUGCGCCAAAUUCUCUCUAAUGGACCCCAAAUUCAACCACAUCAUUGUCAAAUAUAUUUCUGCGGAGUCAUCUACAAAAUCCCUAAAAAUACUCCUCAUUUCCUAUUUUUAGAAUACUCCCUCCCUUCGAGCUCAACAGGUAAAACUUUAUUUUCUUUUAUUUAUUGUGUGCUUGCUUGUGUGUGCCGUAGAUCAUGCAGUGACCGCGGAGGAGCCCGAAGAGUAGCUUGAAGCCCAGUACCGUGAGCCGGAGCUCGAAGACCAGUACUGCGAGCAAGAACUCCCAUCCGACUUUGAGGACGACAAGUCCAAUCUCACCUUUUGAUGCAUAUUUAUCCUAAUUUUUCAAACAUAAUCUAUUAGCCUGUUUUAUAAAAUUGCAUAUUGUUUUAUUGCUGAAACAUGGUUGGAUAGCCACCCCUUGAUUGUUAUGAUUAUUCCUUGAUGUCCUAUAAUUAUCUCUAAAUAUGAUAUGCUUUUUUUCGAUGAUGAUUAUUGCUAGAAUGCUUAGAACCUUGUUACUCAUUUUAUUUCACUUCAAUCAUGAUUACAUUGUGUUUUAUCAAAGAAUAGAUGUGUGAGUGUUUUAAAAGAGAAAAAUAGGCUUUCGGGAAAUAAAGGAAAGAAAAUGCUUAGAUGAGAUGGAUGGGUGUUUCUUGUGUGAAAUACCAAGUUGGGCUCGUACCUUUGUGGUUGAGAAGGUUGGGAGAUAUCCAUCUUGUCAUGGUUAAUGACCAAGUUGAUGUGUCAUCUUGCCUAACCCAAUUUAUCGUGCAACCACUCGACUGUUGCAUGCGGCAACGGCUUAGCAUAAAUCCCACUAGUUAGUCUGUUAGUCAGCAGGAGAGCUAGUGAGCAACGGGAGACCACGGAGGAGGAGUAAGAUCUUUGUGACUUAGAUCCCAGUUAAGGUCUUGUUGGUAGGCCAUUAACCCCUGUCUGUUAGUCUUAGCUAAGGUGGGUAAUGGCUUUGAUAAGAUCUGCACUGACACCAAGGUGAUCGUGCUACGGUACCCUACUUGUGGGUAAAGUGUACACCUCUACAGAGUUAAAAUCUAUUCAAAUAGCCAUGUCCACGGUAUUCGACAAGUUACGGCUCUGCCACAUAACUAGUGCUUGGAGAUGGAUGGUUUUCAUGGCGUGUGUUGGAUUUUGGAAGUGUCCGGCAGUUGUGCCGUAAGCUACUGUGGAUGGGGAGUCUGGUAGCAUUAAAACUUGGAUCCUUUGUGUAGGAUCAACCCCACCUAAUGAUUCGGUUACUAAAGAAAUGCUUUGCAAAAAAACUCUUUUGAAAAUGAACCCUUGGAUAUGUUGAAAAUAUAGCAUUAUUGCAAAUAAACCUUAGCCUUAUCAGUGAUAUAUCCUGUGCAUAUUCUUGAUUGUAUCCCCCUCCGUGGAUGGGGUUGGACUUGUUGAGUACUUUUGUACUCACCCUUGUUUUGUUGCUUCAGAGGAAGACCCGAACUUCGUCAUCGAGGAUUUUGAGUAGGAGGUCGCUUCCGCACCUAACACUGUCUGUGGUGUUGACCUUUUCAGAAUGCUUUCGCUGUCGUGUAGUCCUGAGUGUUAUCUCUUGACAGUGGCUUGGCUAGCUAUUGUUGUUUAUUUACUUAUUAUUUCGACAUGGCUUUCGCGCCCACUGCCUUAGGAGUUGUACGGUUUAUGAACCAUCUGUUGAAUAAAUGUGUUAUCAGCCUCCUGGAACUGAUAUUUGUAUCAUAUUUAGUCUCUGCUUAUGUGAGGACGCUUCAUGAAUGGAUUCUGGAUUCUGCUUGCACUUUUUAUAUAUGCAUUCAUAAAGAAUGGUUUAGCACUUAUGAGUUAGUGCAAGAUGGUGGUUCUGUGUUCAUGGGUGAUAACACACCACGUAAGAUUGUAGGCAUUGGAUCCAUUCGAACUAAGAUGUUUGAUGGUAUUAUCAAGACCUUAACUGAUGUGAAGUACAUUCCAACUAUGAUGAGAAAUCUCAUCUCGUUGAGUACUUUAGAUUUGAAAGGAUAUAAAUACUCUGCUGAAGGUGGGAGUUAUGAAGAUAUCCAAAGGUUCUCUUGUUGUCAUGAAAGGUGAUUUGAAAUCUGCCAAUUUGUAUCUCUUGUGAGGUACUACAAUUAUAUGUAAUGCCGCUGUAAUUUCAAAGGCAUUAUCAAAUUUUGAUGCUACAAAGCUUUGGCAUAUGCGUCUUGGCCAUAUGAGUGAACUUGGUUUGGCAGAGUUAAGCAAGAGAGGAUUUCUUGAUGGACAUAACAUCAAUAAGCUGCAGUUUUGUGAGCAUUGUGUGUUUGGCAAAUACAGGAGGGUGAAGUUCAAUACCUCAACACAUACAACUCAAGGUAUUCUAGACUAUGUCCAUUAUGAUUUAUGGGGGGCAUCUUAUAAGACAUCACUAGGUGGUACUCGUUAUAUGUUGACAAUUAUUGAUGAUUAUUCUAGAAAAUUUUGGCCUUAUUUCUUGAAGCAUAAAUCAGAAGUAUUUUUAGCCUUUAAAGAGCGGAAGGUAAUGGUUGAAAGGCAAACCGAAAAGAAGGUAAAGAAGCUUCACACUGAUAAUGGGAUGGAAUUAUGUUCUCACGAAUUCAUAUCAUAUUGCAAGUCAGAAGGCAUUGUUAGAGACUACACCAUUCUUUACACACCCCAGUAAAAUGGUGUAGUUGAGCGUAUGAACAGAACAAUCAUCUCGAAGGCACGUUGCAUGUUGUCUAAUGCAGGAUUGCAUAGACAUUUUUGACAGAAGCUGCUUCCACCACUUGCUAUCUUAUUAAUCUAUCAGCCUCCAUUCCGAUUAAUAAGAAAACUCCAAUAAAGAUUUGGUCUGGAUGCCCAACAAACUAUUCAGAAUUGAGAGUUUUCCGAUAAUGGAAAAAUUGGAGCCUAGAGCUGUUAAGUGUAUCUUUGUAGGAUAUAAAUCUGGAGUCAAAGGAUAUAAAUUGUGGAAUCCAGAAACUAGAAAGGUUUUGAUCAUUAUAAAUGUUAUCUUUAAUAAAUCUGCUAUGCUACAUGACAGUCCUAUUGAUGUUCCUGUUGAGAAUCAACAGAAGUCAAGUGUGCAUGUGGAGCAUUUUGUUGAUGCACCAUGAAAAGUAAUUGAUAGUGUUCCAGUUGAACCUAUUGUUGAGGAUUCCUCUACUAUCGAGGAUGUUCCCAUUGUUUCACCAUAGCCACCACCGCGACAGCGUUUCAUUGCCGUUGAUAGGCCUAGGAUGCAAAUUAUAGAACCAAAGAGAUUGAUUAAUGAAACCAAUAUUGCCGCUUAUGCUUUGAGUGUGGCAGAAGAAAUUGAAGGUAAUACAGAACCUUCAACUUACUCUGAGGUUAUUAAUUCAACCAACUGCAACAAUUGGGUGACUGCCAUGCAUGAUGAAAUGGAGUCACUUGAAAAGAAUGGCACUUGGGACUUGGUAAAAUUACUAAAAGAAAAGAAGCCUAUCCGCUGCAACUGAAUUUACAAAAGGAAAGAAGGCAUUUCUCCAAGUGACAAAGUGAGAUACAAGGCGAGGUUGGUUGCUAAAAGUUAUAGCUAAAUUCCAAGAAUUGAUUACAAUGAUGUAUUUUCCCCUGUUGUUAAGCAUAGUUCUAUUCGAACAUUGCUCAGUAUUGUUGCCAUGCAUGACUAUGAGCUUGAGCAGUUGGAUGUUAAAACUGCAUUCUUACAUGGGGAAUUGGAAGAAGACAUCUAUAUGGAUCAACCAGAAGGUUUUGUUAUUCAUGGAAAAGAGGGCCUUGUUUGCAGGUUAAAGAAAUCUCUUUAUGGUUUAAAACAGACUCCUAGAUAGUGGUAUAAAAGAUUCGACUCAUUCAUGAUCUCUCACAGCUUUAAGAGAUUUUUUAUGAUAGUUGCGUUUAUUUAAAAACUAUCAAAGGCCCAACCAUUUAUUUGCUUUUGUAUGUCGGUGACAUGAUGAUUGCUGCAAAAGAUAAAGAGGAAAUAGCAAAACUAAAAGCACAAUUGAGUAGUGAGUUUGAGAUGAAGGACUUAGGUGUAGUAAACAAAAUUCUAGGUAUGGAAAUUAUUAGAGAAAGACAUGCUGGAAAAUCAUACAUUAGUCAACAAGGGUGUAUUAAAAAGGUUCUUCGUUGUUUUAGCAUGCAUGAAGCUAAGCCAGUGAGUACACCAUUAGCUGUACAUUUUAGAUGAAGAUGUCAAGUACAUGUCUAAAGUUCCAAUUCAAGCGCAGUUGGUUAUCUUAUGUAUGCCAUGGUCUGUUCGCGUCCUGAUUUAUCUCAUGCAUUGAGUGUUGUCAGUAGAUACAUGGCUAAUUCAGGUAAAGAACAUUGGAAAGCGGUCCAAUGGAUUUUCAUAUAUCUGCGAGGAACUUCAAAUGCAUAUUUACAAUUUGGAAAGUUUAAAAUUGGACUUGUUGGUUAUGUGGACUCUAAUUAUGCUGGUGAUUUAGAUAAAAGAAGAUCACUCACAUGUUACGUAUUCACCAUUGAUGGAUGCCCUGUUAGUUGAAAAGCAAGUUUGCAUGCAAAGAAUCUGUUUGGUUGAGAGGUUUAUAUAAUGAACUAUGUAGCGAUAGUUCUUGUAUCACUAUAUUUUGUGAUAGUCAUAGUGCUAUAUACCUUACAAAAUAUCAAAUGUUACAUGAGAGAACAAAGUAUAUUGAUGUUAGAUAUCACUGUAUUCGAGGAGUUAUUGCUCAAGGUGAUAUCAAGUAUGCAAGAUUAGUACUCAUGACAAUCCCACAGACAUGAUGACAAAGUUAGUUCCUGCUAUUAAGAUGCUCAAGUUUGCAAGAUUAGUACUUAUGACAAUCCCACAGACAUGAUGACAAAGUCAAUUCCUACUAUUAAGAUGCUCAAGUUUGCAAGAUUAGUACUCAUGACAAUCCCACAGACAUGAUGACAAAGUCAGUUUCUGCUACUAAGUUGUUUAAACUUGAUUGGUGUUACCGUCUAUAAUCCAUGAAUUUUUGGUGUAUGGUUAUCGUUGUCGUUAAAGGCAUUAUAUUAAUGUUACUUCACUCAAUUGCAGAAGGAAAUUCAUCUCAAGGUGGAGUUUGUUGGAAUAUGCUCCGAAUUGCUAAAGCCUUCUACAUGCACCAACCGUUGGACAUCUAACUUAGCUUGUGCUAAAUUAGGGAGGUAUUUUGUGGUAGCAUGCUUGCAUGCAUGAGCUUUUUCAGCCAUUCGUUAUUUGGAUUGUCUGCAUGCUCCGGCCUAUAUAAACCAGUUGAAUGUCGUACGAUAGAGAGUAACACAAUUAGCAGAGUCAUUCCACAUUUCUAAUCCUAUUGUAAGUUAUCCACUCAUUGUAGAUUCCUAGCAUUUGUAGACCUCCAGAUAUAUUGAAUAAUGAAGAUCACUUUUGUGUAUCUAUGUCUUGCUUCCAAAGGAAUUUCCACGUAAAUUUGUGUCUCAGCCUGCUGGACACGUAGCAAGGCCUAGGGGACGAGCGGAGGCCGUGCGACGGUGAUGUUGUCGGUGUUUUAGACCGGCAACCUACCUAGGGGGUACCCUAGGUGGUCUUUUGUGCGGUGGGUGUCGUCGAGAAUCAAGGAGUCAAUGGUGAUGCAAGGAACACGAUUUAGAUAGGUUCGGACCACUAGAUCAUGUAAUACCCUACGUCCUAUGUGUAGAUUGUAUUGAGUUGUACUUCGUUGUUUGGAGGGGGUCCCUGCCCGUCCUUAUAUACUCGGGGGAGCAGGAUUACAUGGUGGAGUCCUAGUCGAACACGAUUACAGAGUCCUACUCCUACUCGGCAGAGUAAUCCCCUUCCUAUCCGACUAGUAGUCGAGGAAAAACCAUGAAGCCUACACGCCCUAUAGAGUAGUCUUCAUGUCCGAGUAGGUUUCGGGUACGUCCCCUUUGAGAGGAUCUGUAAAGUCUUCUGGUGGGCCGAGGGGUGCCUAGCCGACAAGCCCCCGAGUACUUUGUAGUCGAGAGAAACAGCUCCGAGUACUUGAGGAUGCCGUCCGAGUUCCUCUUGGUGCUCCUUGAGUGCUCCUCGAUGCGACGAACCCUCGAGUACUGGUGUUGUCGCAUGACUGAAAGGUACUCUUAGCAGUCCCUGAUGUUUGCUUCGAGUAAUCUUUGCUUUAAGACUAUAUGGUAGUGCGAUGACAAUCGGACUCCAUAUGGAGUAGCCCCUGAGCCUUAGGUUGAAUUGAAGAAUCGGGCUGAGGGUUAGACUUGUAAUUUGGCUUCAACUUGAUCUUUCAGAAAAAAGAAAACUUUAUCCAAUGGGUACGGUGUACGUAGCUCCCGAUCACUUGGGCAACUACUUGUAGUCGAUGAAGGGGUCAAUCGUCUAGUCGGGGUAACCGUUGGAUAUUGUUGUGGUAAAUCUGAGUCGUAUCUGACCGUUGCUUAAUUACCGGGAGGAAAUCCGAAGAUAUUGCUGAUAUAAUAGGGGGGUCAGCGCUAAUUACUGAUACGUUUGUUUAAGCACAUCUCUAGCUCCACUGCUCCUGCUUGCUCCGUCGCCGCCCUUGUUGCCCUUCCUAAUCGUUAGGAGAGGGAUUUGCUGCGGCCUCUUCCUCCCCCCCCUUUUCUUCGAGAUCUGUUGAUGCGUGUGAAGAAGAUGGGCAAAAAGCCUGAGAAGAUCCAAGGGGAGCCCGUGGCUACUAGCAAGUUAAGAUCCAGAUCCAAGAAAUGUCAGGAGCCUGAGUUGCCGGCACCCAAAUGUGGGCCGACAAAUCAGACUGCGCCGCCACCGCCUGGGAUUACCUGGCAGCAUUAUGUGAUGAUGGCACCAGCGGUACAGGCUUUGGUUGACGCGAAGCUUCUUCAACCAAGGCUUGUACUUGAGUGGAGGCCCGCAUACGGGAAUGCAUGGCAAUUUGAAGAGCACCCUAAAGAGGCAGUGAUCCUUGCUCAUUUUGUUGAGAAAGGACUGGCGGUGCCUACUUCUGACUUCUUCAGAGGUAUCCUCGAGUACUAUAAUCUUCAGUUAGUCCACUUGAAUUCGAAUGGCGUGCUGCACAUGUCUAUCUUUGUACACUUGUGCGAGGUGUACUUAGGUGUUUUGCCUAGUCUGGAUUUGUUUAGGAAGCUAUUUCGCUGUAAACUGCAACCCAGCACGACUAGGACAGAAGUCUUUGGGGGGCCGGUUUUCAAUUGAGGAACUCGAGUGCAUAUCUCGAGUAUGACUUGCCAGAUUCCCACGGUGAUUGAAAGAAGAGGUGGUUUUACAUUAGCAAUCAUGAUCCUGUCUUGCCUGUAGUCACUGGCCAUGCUCCCAAACAUACUGAUAACUGGGUGACUGAACCUGAGGAUACUCCUGAGAUCACGAAUUUGCUGACGCAGAUUUUUGAGUUAAGAUCUUUGGGCUUGACUGGGAUUAAUGUGGCCGCCAGUUUCCUUAAGCGCAGAGUCCAGCCUCUGCAGCGGUGUGCUCACUCAGGCUCCGAGUAUACGGGUUUUAAUGACCCGUCGCGUAUGGCUCUUGAGGACAUAUCUGAUGGUGAUAUGGAGGCAUUGCUGGGUAAGUUGUUCAGAAACUAUCAAGGAGUACCAAUACUCCUAGGAGUCCUCCGUCAGUUUGAUAGUUGGUAUUCACCAGCAGAGGUACUUUUGCUUCUCUUUGCACAUUUUGAGUAGUCGAAGAUAUAGUACUGCCUUCUGACUAAUGGUGUUGUCUUUGUGGAUUGUAGUCUCGGGUGUUGUUUGGUUUCCUACCCCCGACUGCCGGGGGUAAGGAGGCGGCCAUAGUUGCUGCUAACGAUUCUCCUUCUGCUCCUCCGGCUAAGAAACGCCGAGCAGUGCGGAAGAAACCCACUACUCACCAGGUUGUAACUUCUUCGGGCUUGACCCCUGAGGGGUCACAGGGUACCAAGGUGCGUAGUUGCACGUUGCAAUCAAGUACUCUUGAGUUUCUUGUUAACAGUCGUAUUACUUUGCAGAAUACUGAUGAUAUUAGUCUCUGUGUUGAAAAGGCCCGGACUUAACUUUUGGUGACGAUAAGGCUACUUCUGAUGAAGUAGUCGCGAUUGCUAAAGACGCAGUUGUCAAUGUCACGGCUGUUGAAGAGCUGCCUGUGGGGGUGCCAUUUUUGAACUCGAAAACAACAGCCUCCGAGCAGGUAGCGUCGGCGUCGGCAGCCCCCAAGUCAGUAGCCCCCGUUCCGGCAGUGUCUGUGCCGGCAGCCCUCGAGCAGGUUACUGAGUCAUCAGUUGAUAAGGUUACGUCUUCUAAGCUGGCAAAUGUCGUGAAGACACCGGUGGUGGCUGUUGGUGCCUUGUUGUCUGAUGUUAUCGCCAGUGGUGAGUACUCGAUCCAUUCUGGUAGUCAUGCGUACAUAGUCUCAACCUUGGUUCUUUCAGGACUCGGCGAAGGAGUGGAGGUCGUUCCUCCCAUGGCUCCUGUAGUGCCGAGUAUCCAACCGGCGGUAGUCGAGAAAAAACAUGUUCGAUUGCCGCCGCGAUCAUCUUGGUGAGAUUUUAUAUAAUCUUUCCUUUUGAUUGUUUUUGAAUUCUGAAAACAGAUGAUGAUCUCAUGUUUUGAUCCAGGGAUGCUGAAGAUACUAUUCCCAUGAAGACAACGGUGGAGGCUAGUCUACCGACUACGCUCUUUGGCCCGUUAGUCGAUUUGUCAAUGGAUGAUGCACCUGAGGUUGAAGACUCAAAUCGUCUUGGUGCCACUAUAUCCAUGCUACAAGAGGUCAUCCACUCAGUGGAGGGCCCAUCGGUUCCCUCGAGUUCUGGAGAUGUGCCGUCUUCAACGACUGCUGGUGGCACCUUGGCUUUGGUUGAUGCGACUGAAGUGGGUGAAGUCGGCGCAUCAAGUAUGUUGCUGGAGUAUGAAUGCUUUUGAAGGGAAAUUCCUUUGCAUCCAAUAUUUACCCAUGAGUUUUUGUUAUCAGGGGUUGUUGUGGGUGAAAAUCUGGAGCCUCAAGUUGAUAAGAGUACUGAAGGUUCGGUACUCGCAUCAGAGUCAAAGUUUCGAAGAGCUAUCCUAAGCUUUCAGAUGUGUAUGAGCUGUUUUCUUUGACUAAUUAUGUUUUGAUAAGUCUUGAUGACUUGUUUUGUGUUGCUUGCAGGACCUGUAUGACAAAGCCCAAAGAAAUACUCGAACUCUCCAGGAGCGCAGUGAAACCAUGCAACAGGUGGCGCAACUGGAGCAAGAAUAUAGCCGCCAUAUAGAGUCCUUGAGAGUUCAUGAGGAGGCUGCAAAGUUUUUUGCAGUUGAGCGGAAUGAUCAUGAAGUCCUCCAGGAGCAAUUGGAAGAAUCGCUAUAAAUCUUUGAAUAGGAUAUAUCAGGGUGAGUACUCAUGAUCUUUUGAGUAUGUUUGACUGUAGUCAUAGGUUCUGAUCUGUGAUGCUUGGCGCAGAGCUCAAGAGAAAAGAGGCUGCUGCGAGUAGCCAACUGCUUGAUUGGAGAAACGCUCAUGACCGGAUAGCUGAUGAGGCUGCCCAUCUCAGGGCGUCACUGGCUGAGGCUCAGGCUGCCUAUGAGCAUCAGAGGAGCAGGAGGAAUCAGGAUGGAGUAAUGUUUGCUAUGGCAAUGGUGGCAUGUAGGGAUCACGGUAUAACUAUAGGGAGACUUCAAGGUGAGCUCCAAGAGUUGACUAGUGCCGCCCAGGAUGCAGUAAACGCCCUUGCUCCACUCGAAGGCGAUGCUGAGCCACGCACGUUAGUGAGAGACUAAGAUUUGUCCUGGGUAGAAUUGCUGGACUUUGUAAGAUUGUCUACAAGAAAAUCCUUGCAGUAAUCAAAUCAUAUUACCCGAGGGCAGACUUGUCGGUGGCUGGUGAUGGGGUUGCCCGGAACUGCACGGAAGAUGCUUAUGCGCAGUAUCUUAAGGAGGCUGAACCUAUUGCCGCAAAGAUGAUCGAGUUCAUGUCUUUAGAAGAACCCUAGUUUUGUUGAACUCGAGUUGUAAUCUAUCGAGUACUCAUGGGAGUACUCAAACAAUUCUAUGUAAAUUAUACUUAUUGAAGUCUGAAUUGUGAUCGGUGAUCUCUUAUCUGGCUGAUCUUUGUAGUCGGGAAGAACAAGUCCAAGUAACCGAGUAGUCGUAGUAUCUAUUGCGGUCGUCAAUCAUUGGUGUUGUUGUUGUUACUACUGUUAUUGCCUUGAACUCUGAGAAGGCUCACGGGUGAACUAUGUACUUUUAUCUGUUGUGCUUCAAUACCGUCACGUAGGUGGAGUCAAAGACAUCUGUCUGACCCUUGUCAGUGUUUCAAGUUGUGUCACAAGCAAGCAAUAAUUUCUAGUGGUUGGUAGUUGCAGCCCUUCGGCUUAUAAAUAGGCUCCUGGGUACUCGACCAGGAGCAUGCCCUUCAGUAUAGCGAUGGCUUGCUUCAUAUUGUUGUUGUUUGAUAGUAGAGAGUUUUCAAUGAGUGCCCCGAUGCUAGAUGAUUCCUCGUAGAUGAGAGACACCUUCCCUCCACAGACUCUAGCGCUCGUAGGGAUAGCCGCGAUGCUAGAAGAAUCCUUGUAGGAGGAUUUGUCGCGUGCUUUGUCCUACAAGUCGCGAUCCAACUGGGUACGCGUUGGAACUCGCGGGUGCGGGGUGAUGAGUGCCGCGGUCUUUAUCCGGCUCCCUGAUUAGAGGUGGAGGUGUGGCGUACGGUAAGGAUCUAUGCACUGAAACUGUCCAGGGAACAGCUUGGGUAGUGCACUUUGUCUUCCUGGUACUUUUCGUCCAGAUACUGUGUCGAGGAUUCAUUGUUGCGAUGGUGAAGGAGUAUGUGGUGCUAUCAAGGGAAAAGGACCAGGGUAAGCCUACGUAUUGCGCAGUUUUCUCGUGUGCAGGUCCUGCCUUUUGACACUGCUUGCACUGUGGUAGUCAGACAGUUGCCAGGCCUGUGUAUCCUUGUGAUAUAGAAAAAGCCUGGGACUUCUGUUCUAACUGCUAGUAGGUAGUUGCUUGCAGUCGUUGUUGUGCAAUUGUGUUGUAUUUUGUAUAUCCUGAUUUUAUUGGGUAGUCGAAUGUAACUCUUUGGAGUUUCGUUAAUGCAAAGGAUGCGAUUAAGCUUGAGUACUUGUCCGACUUGUGCUUUUUGAGUAAAAAUGACUAAUGAUGUGGUCGUGGCUUUAUGAAACCGCUUUAGUCUUGUGGAGACGAGUUGAAAACUCUAGAACUGGAACUUCAGUGGCUUCGGUGCCGGCGGUGCGCGCCCUCCCGGCCUGCCCACGCCGUCGGGCAGCGCGUCGAGCUCUGGAGGGUCGACCGCACCGUCGGCGACACUCGGCAACAUCAACGGCGUGCGGACGUGCAACUCGUAACCUGGCGAUCAAGAGAAGAAAACAUAAUUUCGUUAGUGAGUAAUCAAACAAAAAUAUGCAAAACGUACGGACGGUUGCAGCGUGCAUGUACCCGCACCGAGCUCUCAUGCUACAGCGGUGCGAGCAGGAGCAGCACGAGCACGAGAGUGAGAAGAGGCGUUGACUGGGAUGGUCUCUCUAUGGCGGAUUGGCGGGCGAGAGCCCGAGAUGGGGUGCUGAUGGCAGGGAUGAUCUCUCUUGCGAACUUCUUGGCUGUGGUCUGAGCUCUGAGGAGUGCCUGCAGACAGCGUAGCGCGCUUAUGUAUACACUGGAUUAGUGGUUGUAUGCAAGGUACUCAAUAGCGUUUAGCGGUAUGGUAGCGGAUUAAUGUCAGUGUAGCGGAUUGCGGAUAGCGGACGCUACGUCCAAAUAGCGGAAUUUAAAAAUAUUCAUAAUUUUAGAGCAUAUAUGAAUAUUAACAUCAAGUUUACUUAAAAAAAAGUUAAAUUUUAAGUUAGCCAUUACAUUUCAGGGUAAGAAUCAUAAAUAAAUAGAUAUAAUUAAGAUGUAUGGAUAUAUAUUAACAUUAAAUUCUCAUAUCAAUAAAUAAAAAAAUCAUUUUUCAUCCCAUAAUCCUUUGCCUCUACCUAAAUAAUCAUUUUGAACAUUAUUAUUACCAUUUGAUUCAUAUUUAUAUGUCACUUAAUCAUAAAUGUAGUGAAUAGCAGACUAAUAUGAGCAAAAGGGGCCGCAAUAGCAUACAAUAGUGGACAAUAGCGAUCGUUAAGUCCAAACUGUAUCCGCUACCUUUUAGCGGUACCCCUACUUACUUUGGUUGUACGCGGACAGGACGGCAAGACGGCCAGUGGGCAAGUCAACUCUUCAUUCUCGACGGGCUCCGUUCGAUACUACUGACAACCAAGACUGCAAGAACCACUACUUAAAUCAGUACAAUGCAGUCUGCAAGAACCAUUUUUGUUAAAUUAGACCCCGUUUGGAUACCCCUUGCUAAAGUUACCACCUGUUAUAUCGGAUGUUUGGAUGCUAAUUAGAAGUAUUAAACAUAGGCUAAUUAUAAAACUAAUUGCACAUAUAGAGUCUAAUUCGCGAGGCGAAUCUAUUAAGCCUAAUUAGUCCAUAAUUUGACAAUAUGGUGCUACAGUAACCAUUUGCUAAUGAUGUAUUAAUUAGGCUUAAUAGAUUCGUUUCGCGAAUUAGCACAGGAGUUCUGCAAUUGGUUUUAUAAUUAGCUCAUGUUUAGUGCUCCUAAUUAGCAUCCGAACAUACGAUACGACACUGCUAAAAUUUAGCACCUGAUAUCCAAAUACCCUAUCACGCAUCCGUACACCUGCAACCAACAUCCAAUCAUCCAUGCGUCUUCCUAUUUUCUUUUGUAUGCGCUCUCAAAGUUGUUGGAACCUCUAUUUGUCGGGAAUUUCAUGAGUCCGCGAGGCUGCAACCAUGCAUUUGACAGGAGAAGCGACAAGCAUGCAGCUCUCGUCAGGACCUGAGGGUAUUGGGUUACAAAGUCAACUGAUGCGAUACCAGUUAUACAAGGACCUCCAUUGUAUUGACCAACAUCAGUCAAUACCAAAUGAUGGUCAUCCAAGUGGAGAAUUGCACACGAAGCAAAGGAACAGUGUACCUGUGUAAACUAGUAACUCGUCAGUCGUCACUUUCGUAAGAAACAUACAGCAACCUUGGGUUGAGGUUCAGUUAAAACAUCGAACCGUUCAGCUGUGCUUGCAGUUCUCACUGCAAGGUCAAUGCGCUGUUUGUCUGAGAUGUCCAAACGCAUGUGCAUCUCGGAUCGCUUCAGCAACUGCAACUGCAAACACACCAACACAACAGUAGAGAAAUGGGCCACCUCCAUGCCACAGGAAAGGCCCAUAAACCAAAUUAAAGCUCAAAUGUGGCCUAAUUGCGGUCCAAUUAUGAGUGAGCCAGGUCUGGACCAUUCAUCGUGCUGGGCUUUUCAUCGAACCGACGACCUCACCGGGCAUUUUCGGUUCUGUUGUUUGGUGGUGUGGUUCGACUGAAACUCACACCCCAAGAAAAAAGUUUGAAACUGCCAGCUCAACACAUUGCAAUUAUGGGGUGUUACUGCUAACUGCAAAGAUGGAGUUUUCCAAAAACAGAAAAAGAAAACAUGGUGUCUUGUUUCAAAAGAAAGAAGAUUGUGCCCGUAGAGAUUUGUUGGAGGAAUGGAUGUAGCACCCCUUUUAUCGAUUUGUCAAGCGAGUUCUCAACUGUAGUCUAAUAGCAUAUAGAGUCUAGACCAGGACCGUGCAGUGCAGACAACAACUGCCUCCACCAGCGACGCUCCAGUGCUUAGUCCUCGGCCCUUUUCCUCCAAAUUUCCAACUUUAGCACUAUGCAAAAAGAAGAUUCUCCAUCACAUCAAACUUACGGUACAUGUAUGGAGUACUAAAUGUAGACGAAAUCAAAAACUAAUUGCACAGUUUUGUUGUACUUUGCGAGACGAAGCUUUUGAGCCUAAUUAGUCAAUGUUUGAAUAAUAAUUUACAAAUACAAACGAAAUGCUACAGUUGCGCAUUUAUAGCAAAAUGCAAACUUUGCCACUCCCAAAUCGGGAACUAAACAAAAGCCUCAUCUCACUGGCCCGUUAUUCGAUCACCCGAGGCUGAGAUGCCCGAGUGGUUAGCUAACUGCCUGCCAUGAGCCUUAUCCAACACACCAGUUCGCGGCGCCAAAGGCCAGUGGCAAGCUGCCAAUUGCAGGGAAUCGAAUUCAGGGUUCAGACUGGGAUGUGCUCCGGUGGAGUUGGCCAAAAAGGCUGUACUUCUCUCCGUCUCAUUUCUAACCAUUUCACAAAGAAGAUAUCCUCCAUCUUGUAGAUAGAUGACGACACAGUGCUCGUCACUAAAAGGAGACGACGAAAUUAACAACAACAAAAAAAUUGGCAUCCUUUUCAGUUCGUCAACCCCUUCAUCGAAUAAACUAGUAGUAUUCGUCAAGCCUCAGCAAGUCAACAUCCUUCGGCUAAAGGCCUAAAGUCCAGUCUCCCUUUUCUGUACCCCCUCCUACUUUUGUAAGGACGUUGACCUCCCUUUCUUUUAGAAGAAUAAUUUGGCCGCUGACCUUAUUAUGUAUCUGCAACACAAAGUAAAGCACGCGGACAGUUUUCGUCGACUGCGCUGCGCCAUUCACAAGCAACAACAACGUUGACAUUCCUGAAGCUCUGAAAAGCAUCACCGAUCAGCUCCACCUCACCUUUGGCGAAUACUGGAGUGCAGCACAAUCCUCAUACUUCCUGCUGUUGAAAGCCAUACAAACAAAGAAAAGAAAUCAAAUCUGAGCCCAAAAUGAUGCACGAAUUAUUGCAAGCAACUAGGAGAUUGGCCACAGGUGCAGAGAAUACUAGUACAUCUACGCGUUCAAUACUCGGAUGCAGUGUCGAACGACAUGGAUGCAUCCACUGAACUUGUGCUCUUGCUCUGCAAGCGACUACGAGACCAAUCAGCAGUGCAGGUCACAGAGGACGGUCGCUUCAAGUUGGGUGCUGGGCGCAACGGCGCGCCAAGUCAAACGACACUGAUGCAUCCGUCGACCGAAACGGGCACUCUGCGAGCACUACGCUUCCAGGUAGGCUUCAUGCAACUCUAUCGCGCUGUCCGUACGCACGCACGCAUUCCCCCCCCCCCCCCCCCCCCCCCCCCCGAGUUCGUGUCCGUCACUUUCUUAUCUGCUCGCACGGAGAGAUCUUCUCGAUCGGUCCGGCGAGAUCGGACCGGACGCACGACCUCGGAUCCCCGUAUCGCCAUAUCCGCGUCGCUCCGUCAACCGCAUCGCCUUCAUGCUCGCACAUCGUCAACAGCGAUUCCGGUCAACCGGCAAAUUAAAACUUUGCAAGUACAUGGCCAUCUUUUCUGGGACAGAGACCAAUUGAGAGGUGUCAAAACAGUUGACCUGCUGCAGCAGCCUCCUCACAACUGGAGCCGGUGCAACGAAAAGGCGCCGUGUUAUUUCACCUUGCGAUGCCCUGAUUCCAAUUGGUGCGAAAGGGAUUAAGAAAUGGAAUGUGCAAUGGAACAGCGGUAUAGAGCUCAAUGAUGGAAGAUUCUUUGUUAGUGCAAUCAUUAGGUGAGGUGGUGGCAUUCCUAAGCCUUAUAAACCCUAAAGAGAACCUUACGGUUGACAUUGUGUAUGUGUGCAUCCCGGCUGUCUGACUUAUUAGAGGAGUGGACCUUCGGGAUCACGAGUCCGGCGUUGCAAAGGCAGGUUUUCCGGAUCUCCAAAAAGGUCGAGUUCAUGUGCACAAGCCGCCUGAACCCCGCCGUCGCCAGAUCUCACCGACGCGUUUACAGUCGUUCAGAGGCUGGCACGGCCGGGGCACCGUCACGGGCUUCAGUGGCACUGCAGCGCCAGCUCGUGGUGAAAUCGAGUUCAAGCGAAGCAUCAUAACCAUUAACCAGUGUGCUGCCAUAAUCCGUGUGCCGUGAUACACACCGAUGCCUUCCGUUGGAUCCCAUCACUCGCCGUGCACGUAUAUGAUUGUACGAUCCCCGAGCAUUAUUGCUGUGCCGUCCGCUUUAAAAUGGUCGUCCGAGUUGUCUCAUCUGAUGGACGAGACGGCAGGAACGGCACAGCCCCUACCAUGCGAGACUGGAAGUAAAGCUCGGAUUCUUACUUGGGUGAGUGGUGAAAUGGGGGAGUACGUGAAGUGACGUAGAAUCAACCCGGCGGAACCGAAGCGGGGCCGGGGGAGGGAGAGGGCGGGCCGACGCCGCACUGGCAGCCGGGGGCCGGCGGACGAGUGGAGCUGCGCCCACGCUGGCCAAGGAAGCAACGCACUCGACGCGACCGCAUCGCACGCGACGAGAGCCGGCCAUCCAUCCAUGAUCCAUCCACCGUUUUUUCAGGUAGGACCACCCGGUUCGGCCGCCCGCGCCGCAAAGCGCACGCAUCCGCCUCGCCGCUUUCGGUCGGCGCAGGGGCAUGGGCCCCUCGCACGUCGCACACCGCACACUCCUGGCCGCGCCCUCACGCGACCCCACUUGUUGCGCCGGCCGGCUCGGCCUCGGCGUCACGGCGUGGCCUGCGCCGGCCGCACGUCGCCCGCGUCGCGUGCCACUGCAGGCUUCGCGCCGCCGAGACGCGCGCGGCCCGCCGGUGCGCGCAGCAGCAGCAUAUGCAGCCGCUGGCGAACGUGCCGCCGCGGCGCGCUGCAUCCUGCAUAUGCACGGGAAUAUUCCGCCGCGGGACGGAACGGGACGGCGCGGAUGCGUGUCGCCCCCUGACGCCGAUGAGACCCACGGCCACGGGAUAUUCUAUCCGAUCGGAACGGAUUCCUGUCUUUUUUUUCCUUUUCUUUUUAAUCCGAGGAGGAGACGCUGCCGUCGACGGCCGCCCGCGUUGCGCUAUCCACCCGAUGAAUGGAUCCGGAUCGGCGGCAAGUUUCAGGUGGACCGAACGACUGGCAUGAUUCACGACCACAUGCACCAGUGCAUGCACGCGACGGGUUUUGGGUAGGGUUCGUGAACGACACCGUACAAUUGGGGAUUUGACCACGACUGGAGCUUGGACCAGGAGCAACCGCGCGCCAUCCGCAUUCCACAUCAGGGCGGCUGCUGCUGCUGCUGCUGACGCCGGCGCUGCGUCUGAGCUUGCGUUACACGACCGCGAACAGGUCGUCCACUCCAGUCCAGACGCGAGAGUCAUUUUUUUUCUUUCGAAAAUGCCUCCUUUUCCCCCUUUGAAUGUGUAGGUGUAACAGAGGAUUUGGUGGCUACACACCAUAAUUCUGCUGUGGACUUCUACAACGCUACAGACAAGAGAGUGUCGAUGGACCAACCGUGGCCCCCCAAAGCGCACAGGCAGGCACAGCCCCUUUCAGGUGCGCCCGCGCUGACCUCGACCAUCGAUCGAUUCUUUCCUGCACGACGACGCUGAUCGCUCGCCCGUCCAAAGUACACCCAAGUACCCAAACCUGCCCCGGCACUGUGCAUGCCGCUACUCGGUUUCGUAGAACUGUCGCGGUGUCUCCUCUACACACUAGCAGACUGCAUCCAAGAACUUGGCCUGAACUUGUCCGCGAGGGCGAGGACGGCGCGGGGAACGGGCGGUGAAAGUGCCGUCCGCCCUGAUCUGGGGCAGGGGAGUUGACGGACGCGGGCUCUGAAGGUUCCUCCGUUGAUUACCCGCAGCGCAGACCGGCAGACCCCCGCGUCUUCCCACCGCGCGAGGAGAGAACGGAGAAGUCUACGCCUAUCCGUCCAGGCGUCCACACCACAGACGCUGAGACGCAGAGGCGCAGGCCCGCCGCAUUAACACACGAGCGAGCGCGUGGUGUGCCCGGCACGCGGCGGAAAAAUAAUAUGGAUGACAGACGCUGGAAAAAUUGGAAUGACUGAUUUGUUGUGAGAGAAAAAUACUGUUCGAUAGCUGAUAAACCGGCUGAUAAGCUGAAGCAAACCGAACAAAAUACCUUCCUUAUUUAACACUGGGAUUUAUUUUUCGUUCCUUUCUUAACAUUUAUUCCUUAUUUGAUAUCAAGAUUUAUUUUUCAUUCCUUUAUUAGCACUUCUAUUAGUUUGAAUGGUAAGGUCCACCUAAAAAGACAUUUUUACCCCUCAUCUUAUCUAAUGAUAUAGAGCCAAUCCUCUUAGUGCCAUUGAAAUUUAGAUCACUUUCUUGUGUGCCAUCAAAUUUUUGGCUAUUUUUCCUUGCAUGCCAUUUCAGAUUCAUAUCGUAGCAAAAUAAAUGGAGAUGGAAAUAAUUCUAAGUAAGGGGAGGCGGGCUCCCAGCAGGCUGGUGCGGGCGCGCUGUCCCUCGGCCCUGCGAUGCGGAAGAGCGGUGCCCCGCCAGGCCAAAGCGACGGGAGCCGCGGCCGAUCAAGAUAAGGUCGCGCGAAGUGGGCCCGUCAGAUAAGUAGAUUGAGAGGCAAAAGUGCCAUUUCACAUGUCGAAUCGAGUCCUCCAAUAACUGUCCGUUAAGUUUCCUUAAAUAACUGUUCCGUUUCUAAUGAAAGUUCAUGGUCAUGGCACCGAAGUGUCAUGAAAGGAACGAAAGAUAAAUCCUAGUACCAAAUAAGGAAUAUAAGUGUUAAAAAAGAAUGGAAAAUAAAUUUCGGUGUCAAAUAAGGGAGAUAAAAAUAGAUAAAUCCUAGUACCAAAUAAGGAAUAUAAGUGUUAAAAAAGAAUGAAAAAUAAAUUCCGGUGGUAAAUAAGGGUGACAAAAAUUUCUAAUAUAGAGAAUCAGUUUAUUAUGGAGUGCCACGCAGGGAAUCUCUAAAAAAGACUUGCUUCCCACGCCUUUUGGCCAUCCAUUUCCUAAUUAAUCGAUCCUGCGCUUUUGCCACACGCCAAACACCUUCCAUGUUUUAAACUUGCAAUCCUCCCUAAUCCCGCGGGCCCCAAGCACAAGCCGUCCUCCCUCCCCUCCCGCCUAUAGCAGGAGUGUGUAUAUAUAAACGCGCGCCUCACCUGGCACCCGCCACAAAAAGACUCAGCACGAGAGCAACGCAAAGCCAGCUCGGGACAAGUCAAGAGCCAUCGGGCCCAACAGAAACCACCACCAUCAAAGCAACAGCAAGAAAGGAGAAGCGGAAGGCAUGGCGGCGACGGCGAUGGCCGUGAGCGGGAGGUGGACGCGGGUGCGGACGCUGGGCCGCGGCGCGUCAGGGGCCGAGGUCUUCCUGGCCGCCGACGAGGCGUCCGGGGAGCUCUUCGCGGUGAAGGCCGCGCCGGCGUCGGCCGCGGACACGCUACAGCGGGAGCAGGGGGUCAUGGCGGGCCUCCGCUCGCCGCACGUCGUCCCCUGCAUCGGCGGCCGCGCCGGGCGGGACGGCUCGUACCAGCUCUUCCUCGAGUUCGCGCCGGGCGGGACGCUCGCCGACGCGGCGGCGAGGAGCGGCGGGCGGCUCGGGGAGCGCGACGUCCGCGCGUACGCGGCCGACGUCGCCAGGGGCCUGGCCUACGUCCACGGGGCCGGCCUCGUGCACGGGGACGUCAAGCCGCGGAACGUCGUGAUCGGCGGGGACGGCCGGGCCAAGCUCGCGGACUUCGGGUGCGCGCGGAGGGCCAGCGCCGCCGCCGCCGCCGCGCGGCCGAUCGGCGGCACGCCCGUGUUCAUGGCGCCGGAGGUGGCGCGCGGGGAGGAUCAGGGCCCGGCCGCCGACGUCUGGGCGCUCGGGUGCACCGUCAUCGAGAUGGCCACGGGCCGCGCGCCGUGGAGCGGCGUGGUCGGCGACGUGCUCGCCGCGGUGCGCCUGAUCGGGUACACGGACGCCGCGCCCGAGGUGCCCCGGUGGUUGUCCGCGGAGGCCAGGGACUUCCUGGGCAGGUGCCUGGAGCGGCGCCCGGGCGACCGGCCCACGGCGGCGCAGCUGCUCGAGCACCCGUUCCUCGCCUCCGCCGGCGGCUGCGAAGCCACCAAGGGCGAAUGGGUGUCGCCCAAGAGCACGCUGGACGCUGCAUUCUGGGAGUCCGACAGCGACGACGAGGACCACGACGUGUCGUCGCAGAGCACCGCCGAGAGGAUCGGGGCGUUGGCCUGCCCCGCUUCGGCCUUGCCGGACUGGGACUCCGACGAGGGCUGGAUCGAUGUGCUCUCCACGCCAACCGAAGCGUCCGAGGCAGCGACCGCAGCGGACGCCGUGGAGGCCACUUGCCUCGACGGCGGUGUCGGGAGCGAAGAGGAAGCGAGCGCGGAGGCCGUGCCCCACGACAUUGAUGCGGACAGCGGCGCCGGCGCCCACAAUGUAGGAGAAGCUGACUCUUCAGCUGAGCACGAGAGGCGUCAUCCGUGUGUGAAUUCAGGCUGUGAUGAUGACGAUGUCCCAUGUAAAUUACUUCGCGACACAAACAAUACAAUGAAAUUUGCUUUCGCCCAAAUCUUGCUCUGUUCAUCCCCAUUCCCACAUGCAGAAAUUCCUGUUCUUUCGAAUGCGCUCUGUUUCUCGCUUCGGAGCGCUCACAUGAACGAGUUCACACCUAAAUUCCAGAGCGCUGUAAAAUUCGCCGCUUGCUUCGCUUUGGACAGCACGUUGCGCCGCCCGCGCAGCCGUGAUUGUGACUCUGACGAGGAAAAAAAGCGCGCAGGAACCUAGCGGCCAAUCCCCGGCCCAGCUUUGAGCUUCCCCGCCACGGCACGCGCCGAAGGUUCCAACGCGGAGGGAGCGAGUCACUCGCGUCGACACGGAAAAGCGCAGCGUCAGCGCGGACGCAGAAAGGGGUUUCUGCCAUUCCGGAGUUUACUUACUUCGCCCGCUCCCGCUGUCUAAAACUCCGUAACUCGGGGGGCCAGGAAAGGCCACGUGCGAGCCCGCCCCGACGGGCGACGGCGAUAGAAAAAAGAGCUAGUAUAGCAUAGCGGAGGUCCUCCGGUUGCUUCCUCCGGUGGGGAUCCGCCAGGCGCCAGGGGAUGGGAGGAGGAGCCGAGGGAUAUCCAUUAUCCUGCCGUGGGCGCCCGGCUCUUCCAUUCCAUUUCCACCCGGCCACGGACUCGUCGCGCGCGCUUCCUUCUGGAACGGUAGCGUGUCGGUGCGGGAUGACGAGGAGCUGGACCUUGGCCCGGCUGGCUCUGGUCCGCGCUGUAGGUUCACCGCUGUCUGCGCUUUCCAACGUUUCCAGACUGUGAAAGAGGGCUCAUAGGUUAUCCGCUGCUCGGUUUGGUCCACACGGCACGUACAGUGCGUCGCCAGCCGCGUCUGAUCAUCACGCAAGGGAACCAUAUGCUCUGCCUCUGCGCCUCCUCCUCGACACCUCACUCUCCCUCGCGAAAUCUUACCCGGAUCUUCCUCUCAAGACACAAAUUAGCGACGCGAUCCAGGUGUUCAGCUUGCGUCACGCUGGACCGUACCCCCAAACAGUUAGGCAAAAGCGUGCGAGGACGGUGGGUUUGGAUAUGGUCGCCAAGCCGCAGCAGCACCGGUGGGCGGGCAGGCCGGAAGGAGCACGAAGCGAAUCCACGGUCCACCACCGUCCACGACUGACCCGGGCCGGGGCGAUAUGCUGAUAUGCAUCGGCCGCCACCGCCGCCUCGUUCGUUCCUUGUCAUCCGAUCUGAAUUGUCCUAUCCCCCGAGGAGUAGUAGAGCCCGCGGCUUUCGGCUUCCUUCGAGUGCUCCCCAGGCUGACUCCGCCGAGCCUUUCCCCGGGUGCUUUCUGUUGCUUUCGCCGCCUUUCCCCUCCCUUCCAAGCAACGGGGCCGCCGGGUGAAGGAAUCUUCAAGGGCCGGAGAGAUCCGGACGGUUAAAACUUAAAUCCGCAUCGCUGUCACGGCGUGUCCUGAUCGAAAUUCGAACCCCUGAUGCCGCGUUUAGAACACCCGUCGUCGGCGAUCAUGGAGAGAGUGUGUGCAGUCUCGGAUCCCGUGACAUGACGUGAUUAGGAAUAGUACUAGUUCAGAUAUUUUUGUGUUCUAGAUAGAGUGCGGCUAAACUGAAUGCUUCUUGCGAGCCAAGCAAGGCCAAGUACACCUGGUGGUACGUGAUAGGCGAACUUCAGGACCAGUAUAGAAGGGUGCAGCUUACUUAACGAGUUAACGCCGUACUACUAGUAACUAAUAGCCAGUCAAGCGCCUGUACGUACUAGUAAUAAGGCUUUUGUGUAAGAGUCGCAGAAAUUAACUUUCAUCAUCAUACCAUAACUUGCAAUGAAUCUUGCAGCCAGAUAACUUUUAAAAAAAAUCUUGCAGCCAGUUAAGUAAAGCUACUGUUCAAAAAUUAAGCUAGUUUAUGUGUUGUUGAAGAACAGGGCAUCUGAACAUCUGAAUGCUUCCCCUUACAACAACAGUUGACCCCGAUAAAAAUACCCAGCGAGUCCAUACCAAAUGAACGUCCCAUGCAGGACAAUCAUGAGGACCCAUGAUCCCAAGCCGAUAUUAUAGCUAGUGAUGAGCUCGAAUAAACAAAACAAGCAACUAAUCGCGUACUCCUGCUGCUUACCGACGGGGGCUUGGAUCCUGCGAGAGAUUGACCACCUCAGCGGGCCUCGACCGGUUGGCGUCAAAACAAGCCUGCGGCUGCGGCUGCCGUAUCGACCACACCGUACCCCAACGAGGUCUCGCGCUGCCAAUCAUGAGGCGGCGAACCGUUCGGCACGCCGCAGCAUGUGCUGCGGUGGCGUGCAGCCCACCGAGACCGAACCGCGCAUUUGUUUUAUUUUUUUGGCGUGUGCCGUAUCUCCUGGAUCGCCCCCGAUAUCGUAUCGUUAGGCCACCGGCGCCGUGCCAACUGGAUAGGCGUCGCCUGCUGCUCGGUUUACGUGUUCCGCACCACGUCUCCGCUUCGCUCCGGUUCGGCUCGUGAGCCACAUGGCUGCGCGUCGCGCUGCCCACAUGUUUUUUUUGUUGUUGUUGCUGUAUUGUUUUGGCUGUUUGUUGGGGGAUGGACCUGCACGGGGAUAAACAACGACCGACACCAGCUGACUUCAUCACCUCGCAUUCGCUUGAGCAGAGAAGAGGUGGUGGUGGUGCCGUGCGUAGUAGGGAUUGCCACGGGCCGCGGCAUCGAUUUGGCACGCAAAACUUAAUGCCCACUUCAUUAGUUUGGUCAAAAGAUCAAAAAGGCCACCAGACGUCAGCGAAGAUCACACACCGACGACUGUUUAAUAACAUUUUGCAGAUAUACUCUUACCUGCUAUUGCAGUUAGCAACAGCCGUACUCGGUCGAGUCGCGUGGACUCGAUCAGUCAACGUUAUUCAUCCAUUCCCCCCACUUCCUGCUCUGAGGCGUGCUGAGUACCUUGCCGGUCCUGAACUCGCUUCCAGAGUUCCAGUUUCCAGCGAUGCGUUCAUAAACAAAGCAUUCACAGCUUCUGAGUCAAGCUGACAACAUACGAAUGCAGAGUAGGGUGGGCUGCGAUCCCAUGGCAAUACCGCUGUUCACACGUUCACCAGCUCACCAACGACGCAACGAUCUGAGAGAGGGACAAGUGUGCUUUCCACAACAAGAAAGGAGGAGAGCGAGCGGCAACAAACACUGGCUCCGCUUCACACCUGUCAAACCGGCAAGCACGCCACUGUCCGGAUGAACCUACCCAACCUGUACUCGGCCAACUCUUCGGGUACCAGGUGCGCCAACAGAUGGCACCACGCCCGGCCGGCUGCAGCCGAGAGAUGCUAGAGACUAGAGAGCGAGGCUGCAGGGGCUGAGCGGUAGCGAGGUUGGAUCGACCACGGGUGCUGGCUGCUGCGGGCAUGGCUUGCAUCACCUAAUAGACGUGGCGACUGGUGAGAUCGAGUUCGUGGUAAAGCAUAGUAGCAUACAGUCUGAUGAGAGCUGAUCAUCACGCGGCUGCCUAACACGGCGUCCAGAUCAGCUCAUCUUCAGAAAUUUCGAUACACGACUCUGCCAUGGUUUUGCUUCUCCUUCCGUAGCAUGAUCGAGACGGUGGUGGGACUUGACCAAAUCAUAUCCUCGUACAUGUUUCGGUGUGUCUCCAGUAUUUUGUGCACGUUUAACCAAUCGUGAUCGUCUUAAGUUUUAUACUUCUAUGUGAAUAUUGAUUCCUUACUAACUGUGGAGGAAUAUAAUUUGAUGACUAGACUUUUAUCUUAUGCCGACAGAUAACUUCAACACCUUAUGUUUACUAAAAAUAAGAUUACUUUGGAAUUUCUUAAUUAAAGUAUAUUCCGAAUAUGAACAACACUGGUAAAGGAUUCUGAUGCUGAUUGUAUCUAUUUGAAUAUGCUUUUAGCGUGAACAAUUACACAACAAGCGACGUUACAUAAGAGUUUGUAAAACUGGUUGUACAACGUCAUCUACUUAACAAUUAUUUUGGCAUUUCAUGCUCCAUAUAAAGAAAAAACAACUAGUACAUUGUUUUUCCUAUGAAUAAUUUACACGUCAAUUGUUGCUCUUAGAGAAAAGCCGAUGAUACCGGGUACUAGAGUGCACGACAUCUUCUCUUGUAAGUCGUGACCACAAAUCUUAUAGCUAUUAACUUAUCUCUACAGCCAGCACCCUCUACGUCUUUGGCAGUGCCUUACUAGUCUCAUCUUAUCAACUAACAAAAUCUUAUAGCUAUCGAACUAAAUGUUGUAGCAUCAUCCAUAAAAUUAAAAUUAAAUAAAUAUUGUAGCAUCUUCAUAGUUCGGUUUUUUAUUUCAAGAAAUAUUUUUUUUCAUUCUCGGAUUGACGCCAUCCGGAAAUAGAACCCAUGAAGCUUCCUUUCCAAAUCGACACGAAUAGUCACCGCAUCCAGUCCGAAAUAGGCAUUCAGCCCUCGUUUUCCACUUGCCCUGCCCGCAAAACCCACGUUCCGUGCGCCCCACGUGGCCAAAUAUCUCGACCGAUCGGGACCCGCCCCGCGCGGCCCACAGGCUAGGGAAGCGGAGCGCCCGAGCCGCCCGACGCUUCCCCCACCCCCGCGUCACCGCAUUCCUCACGUGCUCUCGCGAGCGCGCCACCGAACCAGAACCCGCCACCGAGUCGGGCACGCCACCGAACUCGUCUCGACCUCCUCCUCCCACCCACGCCUAUAAAUACGCGGCCGCGGCCGGAUCGGCGGCAAGGCAUCGCGCCACGCAGAUCGGAAGCGAAUUCCCGAGACCUAGCCCCCCAACGAAACCGAAAGAAAUCCAGUGGGAUCACGAGUUCACCGAUGAUGGCGAUGGAUGCGGAGAUCGGCGGCCGCCGCCUGACGCGGCUCCGGACGCUCGGCCGCGGCGCGUCGGGCGCCGUCGUGUCGCUCUUCGCGGUGGGCGAGGAGGGCGAGCUCCUGGCCGUCAAGUCGGCGGGCGGCGCCGCGGGGGCGGCGCAGCUUCUGCGCGAGGGCGGGAUCAUGGCCUCCCUCCGCUCGCCGCACGUGCUCCCCUGUCUGGGCUUCCGCGCCACCGCGGGCGGGGAGUUCCAGCUGCUCCUCGAGUUCGCGCCCGGCGGCUCGCUGGCCGACGAGGUGGGGAGGAAUGGCGGCCGCCUGGGGGAGGCCGCCGUGCGGGCGUACGCGGCGGACGUGGCCCGGGGCAUCGCGUACCUCCACGGGGAGGAGUCCGUGGUGCACGGGGACGUCAAGGCGAGGAACGUGGUGAUCGGGGCCGACGGGCGCGCCAAGCUCGCCGACUUCGGGUGCGCGAGGCGCGUGGGAUCCAAGGGCCCGAUCGGCGGCACGCCGGCGUUCAUGGCGCCGGAGGUGUCGCGCGGGGAGGAGCAGGGCCCCGCGGCCGAUGUCUGGGCGCUGGGGUGCACCGUCAUCGAGAUGGCCACCGGCCGCGCCCCGUGGACCGACCUGGACCUCGACGACGUGGUCGCGGUGGUGCACCUGAUCGGGUACACGGACGCCGUGCCGGAGGCGCCGGCGUGGCUAUCGGCGGAGGCGAAGGAUUUCCUGGACAAGUGCCUGAGGCGUGACGCCAGCGAGCGGUGGACGGCGGCUCAGCUUCUGGAGCACCCGUUCCUGGCAACCGCCGGCUGCGGCGUCAAAGCAGAGGAUGCAAAGCCCAUGUGGGUGUCCCCCAAGAGCACGCUGGAUGCCGCAUUCUGGGAGUCUGACGCCGACGACGAGGACGACGAGAUGCCAGAGAGCGCAGCCGACAGGAUCAGGGCAUUGGCAGGUCCAUGCUCGGCCUUGCCGGAGUGGGAAUCCGACGACGAUUGGAUCGAAGUGUGCGGCGGUUGCUCUGAAGUUUCGGACACAGCGGCCGCUGCCCAAGAAGUGAACUUUCCGGCCACGGAAUGCAAAAUUCCUAGCACGGCGGUGGCGGCAUCAUCGGAGCAGUUGCGCAGUGAAGUUCCUGAUGUUCUUCCACCCAUGGCUGCCCCGGAAGCGGAGACGAGGAGCUACGAAAAUUUCUGGGGGGAAGAACCGGAAGCAGAACUGGAGGCCGAGCUUGUUGACGCUGACUUGGAUGUCGGCGAUGGUCCUGUGCACAAUGUAGGAGCUGCAGAUGCUUAUGCUCAUCGGCAACAGCAAGAUGUGUAUGCGAAUUUCGCAAGUGAUUCAGUUGUACUACUUCACUCUGAUAUUUCUGAUGAAGAAAUAGGAAAAAGUCCUUUUCAUGGUCAAAUUGCCCCCUUUUCUCCUCCUUUCGUCUUCUAAUUUUGCCCCCUACUAACUCCAAACUGACAGAGUUAAGACUUGUUUGUUUCUUUAGGAGCUCCUAAAAUUUCUAUCACAUCGAAUGUUUAAAUACUAAUUGAGAGUAUUAAACAUACACUAAUUACAAAACCAAUUGAACAGAUGGAAGCUAAUUUGCGAGACAAAUUUAUUAAACCUAAUUAGUCCCUGAUUUGAUAAUAUGGUGCUACAGUAAACAUGCGCUAAUGAUGGAUUAAUUAGACUUAAUAGAUUCAUAUCGUGAAUUAGCCUCCAUCUGUGUAAUUAGAUUUAUAAUUAGCUCAUAUUUAGUUCUCCUAAUUAGCCUCCAAAUAUUCGAUGCGACAUGAAUUUUAAUCCGGGCUAAAGAUCAAACACCCCCUAGGAACCAUUGAGAUUGAGUACAGGAGCUUUUCAUUGAAUCCCGCGAGAAUCUAACAAUUUCGUAGCCACGUGAAAUUGAACCAAAGAUUCGUGUCGUGAACUUGAUGCGGCAUCACUGUCCAGUAGAAGAACGAUGAGCCCUCCAUGCAGUAGUAACCGUUUGAGUGAAAACCAUGAAACGUCCUAUCCUCUGAAACACACGAAGUGACAGCAACCGUGACCCCGAUCAACACCCAGCUCGACAACUCAGAAAUCCAACCCAACCACACAUCUAAUCCAGUCUCAUAUCCCAAACCCAAAGCAACACCCAAAGAGUUUGGACAAUCUCGCGGCAACUUUGGGCGUUGCCGACAAAUGUGGCAAGCAAACACACGCUCGCGGCCCUCAUCAUCUCAUCACAGGUGUACGCUGCAACCACAGCUCCAUCCAUCCAUGAUCCAUCCAUCAGCUCCAGAAACACGCUCGCUCGAACGAACCCCUGGCCAUCGUGUCAUGUGGCGACAUGGCGUCGUCGCUCGAUCGGUGCCCGGCCCAGCUUCUAGAGAUUCUUCUUUUUCCCACGGCAAGAAAACGCCGGCGCUGUGGACGCGCGGGGCCGCGUGACGACCUGUCUUCGCGCGACGCCGUCCAAGUGGCGCGCGCUCGUGUGAUGGUGGGCACUCCCCUAUAGCCUGCAACGAGACGGCGAGAGUGGGGAUUAGCCCAGGAACACGGCAGCAGUCGUACACGUUUGCUAGGUUGUUGGAACUUGGAAGCAGGAAAGCUAGCUGUGUGUGUGAUCCACGGCGACACUUGUCCAUGUGCUCUGGAUGAGCUCACGCGUGACAUGUGUGUGAAAACAAAGGUCUUUGUUGUCUGGAGCUUCUGUAUGUGCUCGUUUCUAGACCGAUUUCUGUCGAGCCAGUGAUCUCCUUUUUGUUGGCACCGUUUAACUUUCUACGAUCUUGGACUAACCGUUUACUGAUGACAAUGUGUUGUAUACCGUAGUAUCUAGAUGCCAUUUACUAGUAAACCCAACGUUUUUCGAGAGGUCAGUUGACCUGCCGGGGUAAAUGUUAGAAAACGCACCGGCUAGACGGGAGCAGUUCAAGUCUUGCGUUCACAUCGCACACAUUCCCAUUGGCACUGCUCAUGUGCCGUUCCAGAGUGGACCUCAAGGAACGAGUGCUUCUUAUGGAGCAAGUCAAGAGUGCCAGGUCGAACUGUCAACAACCUUGGCAUGCAUGUGUCAGUGUCACUUCCCCUCGUCGCCUUUGCGCUUUGAUCGAUCCGCCUGCCUUGCGCUUGAAUUCUUGGAAAGAGCUUUUCGUGUGAACCAGUUCCUUGCUCCUCAAGGGAGAUCGGAGUCCCUCUCUUUUUUUGGGAGCUAGCAAUGGUGGCCGUGGCCUUGCUGCAUCUAGAGACCUGUCCAGGUGUACAACGAUCCCAGAGGGACCAGACAGACAAAAGGCACCAGCGCAGGGCCACCAAACAAACUGUAUCCACAGCGUGCAAAUAUUUGCAACCGCAUCCAUGGUCCCAUGUAGGCGCCACGCUGCAGUCGCAAACGAUGCUCUUUGCCCUGGUUGACGAAGAUUAUCACCUAAUGUAAUCUGACUUUUUAGAAGGUGGUUGAGUCCCCGGAAUCUGAACCAUCAGGCCAAUCAGUCGUAAGACCUGCGUCAGGCGUCGCGUCACCAUGCGAGGUCAGCAAGUUUUCAGGUCAGCCCGGGCGAGAGUUCUUGGAACCACGGCAUGGAGGUCCCGUAUUUUCCCUGCGUGACUGGUGCGUCGUCAGCGGUUAACUAGCAUCCCUGCAGUUGACGCUGGCCGUGACGCACAAGAAGAAGAAGCCGGGUGCCUGCUGCUGCAGGUGCGUGUCGUCUUCGUCGCCCGUGGCCGUCUCCUCCUUUGGCAGCUUUCCGAGUCAAUCCCUUCUCGUUUCAGAACUUUCCAAGUCAUUCUCGGCAGGUGCGGGUGCGGAUCAGCGGGUGAGGCUCCGCCGGCGAAGGUUGAACGGCGGACUGACUGUUCCUGACGAGCGAGCAAGGCAAAACGAGAUGCCGUGACUGUGCUCUUUUUAAUUAUGGACUGCGAGAGACGGGUUCAGACUUCAGACCAUUCUGCGCCACACAGCCACACAGGCAACGAACGUAACGAACGCAUGUUAGGAAGAUGGUAUACUAUAAGCUCGUGCGUUAUGGACCGACGAAUAUUAGAGACAAGUGAUCGUUGGUGAGAUGCUAUUAGAGACUGACUGGCCGCGUGGAUGUGCAAACGAGUCAAUUCAACCGUCAGGUGCUGGGUUGGGCAAGGGGGCAACACGGACUCGCUGGCUCUGGGUUCACUGUGGCUAUUAGAGUCCAUGGGCUCAUCACUCAUGGGGCUCACAUUUGGGUGGCCUUUCUUUGUGGCGUGCUUAUGCCGUGUUAGCGAACCAAAGUGCAAUGCUUAAUUUGGUUCGCACUUCCAUACCAAAGUUCUGAUUAGAAAGUACGAACCAAAGUUAAAAUUACCAAAGUUCUGAUUAGGAACUGCCGAUUUUAAUUUGUUUCACCCGCGUCAGGCACCGAACGCAGACAAAAUUAUCAGUGUUCCAUACUUAAGAGUGGCCCUCAAAAGAAAUUCAAGAACGGUGGCUCACGAAUCAGGAGCCUAAAACUUCAAUUUUCAGUUGCAUAAAGAAACAACUUUGACAAAAUAAUAGAUAUGUAUCCAAGCUUCCUUUUCCUUUCCUUUUAUUUUAUUGAGAAAAUGGACAUGUAUGCAAUGCAAGCUUUGUUCUUUUUUUGGAAAUGCAUACUUUGGUGGAAGAAGGAAAAAAUUCAGGUCGAGGAUUUGUUUGGAUGGGCCGAAUUCCCGAACCGUUGCGAAAUCAAUUUGGCCCAACAAGGCCUGCUACUCUUGGGCCAAAAUUUAGAAGGCCUGGACCUGCUCCGAAAGUAGGAGGACGACGAGGAUUGUUACUGAUGAUGAUUCCAAUAAGAAAAUCAUCUGAAAAUUGGAGUACGCGAUUUUGCAGUAACAAAGACAGUCAAAUCUUAGGUUAGCUCUUCUCCGAUGGAGCGGCUUAUCUAGUGGAGCUAAAGCUAUUUUGAAAAUGUAUUGGUAAAAUGGCUUAUUAAUGACAAUAUGAGUAAUUUUACAGUCAGUUUAAUGCUUGGAGAGGGAGGAGAAAUUGGCGCGGCUUCUUCCUAGCUUCGGUGAUGGAGCCGUCUUGAAAUUGCCCAUUUAAGUAAGUGACGGAGAAAGUCUCGGAGAAGCUUUACUUCGAAAUUGCUCCCUUUAGGGGGUGUUUGGAUACACCCCACUAAAAUUUAGCACAUGUCACAUCGGAUGUUUGAAUGCUAAAUAGGAGUAUUAAACAUAGGUUAAUUACAAAACUAAUUGCACAGAUGGAGUCUAAUUCGCGAGACGAAUCUAUCUAUACCUAAUAUUAAAGAGAGGAUGUUUCUUUCAAUCCUUCAACCGUCGUGGUUUUUUUGCAAAAAAGCCCCUCAAGGUUUUGGUAAUCAACCCGCAGUCCAACUUUUGAAGAAAGGGGAGCUCGGGUGGAAAAAGGAGAGAAGAGAGGGGGUUAAAGGGGGAAAAUCUUGGACGACCGGCGUCUUGGGCUCGAUCACGGCCGUGGAGAAGGGGAGGAGGGUGGGGCCGCUAAGGCUUGGGCGGUGAGAGCAGCUGGCAGGGGAGGUGGAGGACGCCGGAGUUGACAGGAAGAGCGGCGUGGAGGCGGUGGGGCGAUCGGUGGGCGAUGUGGUCGGCGGCGAAGUCGCCGCCGAGCAUGGUCGGUGGGAGCAGCCGACGGCGGGGGCGGAGGUCGGAGAGAAAGGAGGAGGGGGAUGGGGAGGGGGUAGGCGGCGCUCGCCGGCGUCGGUGGGGCGGGGUCGAGCGGGCAGGCGGGGGAAGAAGGCAUCGGUGGCAGUGCUCCACUCCUCUGUUCGGCGCUCCUCGUGCCCGCCGCGAGAUCCCUGACGAGAUCAUGGACGAGAUCCUGCUCCGCCUGCCCUCCCGCUCCGCGCUGGCGCGCGCCGCCGCCGCAAGCGGCGACUUCCGCGCGCUCGUCGCCUCCCCGCGCUUCCUCCGCCACCACCGCGCGCUGCAACGGGACCCCGGCGCGCUCCUCGGGGUCUUCACCUUCUCCCUCAGCAGCGACGGUGGCAACGGCACGGGCUUCCACCCCGCGGAGCUGUCGCACCCACCAUCGCCGGCGCCACGGACUUCUCCUUCGGGUUCCUCCCGGCGAAUCCCUCCGCCGCGGACGGAGAUGGAGCCGAAGCCGAAGCCGAGGGGUGGAUGGUCCGGGACUACCGCGACGGCCGCUUUCUCCUCGACCGCGUGGCGUCAGGGACCGAGAGGGGCACCGUGUUCACCGAGCUCGCCGUCUGCGACCCCCUCUCCCGCCGCUACGCCCUGCUCCCGCCCAUCUCUGAGGACCUCGCCGCGAUCGUCGACGAUGUGCUAAACGUCUUCGGCGGUCGGCGUGCGUGCGAGCCUUUCCUCGCCCUCGCCGAGGCCUGCUAUGACGACCCCGACGCGGCGCCGCCCUUCACCGUGUUCUGGUCGGCCCGAUGCCAGUGGAAGGUCGCCGCCUUCGCCUUCUCCUCGAGCGACGGGCGGUGGCGCGCGCUCCCGUCGCCGAACUGCUUCAUCUGGCGCCGGCACAGGUCACCGUUCGGCUGCCCGAUGCACACCGUCUGGAACCGGCGACACUACACGCACGACCGCUUCUACUGGGUGGACUGCCUCACCAAUCGGUGGCUCGUGCUCGACACGCGUGCUAUGGAGCUCGCCCUCUCCAUCAUCCCCUUGUCGACCGGCUACUGGAGGAGCACGUUGCCGUCGUUGAGGCCCCCGACGGGUACGUCGGCGUGUUCGCGCAUGACUUCCACCACCCCGGCGGCAAAGCCGAUCUCCACUACUACACGAUCGUGCAGGACGCCGACAGGCCGUGGUGGUGGCUGGAGAACACGAUCCCGCUGUCGUGGCUGGCGGCGUACCACCGGCCGUUCUGCCUCCGGGGCACGGCCAACCACCAACGGGUGCUUAAUCCUCGAGGUCAGCGAGGAGAAGCCGGCGUUCAUGGCGAGCUACCGUGUCAGGGACGCCGAGCUGUUCAAAAUCGACGUCAAAAGCUUCCAGCUGGAGAAGAUCUGCCAGGCACAGUGCGCUGGGUAGUGUUGCUGGCAGUACUUCGGCUUCCCGCCAUCGCUGUCCGUGCCCACUGUAUGAGCAGCAUGGUGAUAUCGCUGAACAAAAUUAUGUUCCAGCUGGCUGCUCAUAGAGUUAGAGCCUUGAGUUUGUCUGGCAUAUAUAUAAUAAUGAUACAAGCAACAAUUUGUACUGAUCCAGUCUGUUCACAAUCCCAAUGCAUACAUACAGAUACAUCUUACAGUACAAAGCAAAACAACAAUCUCAACAUUAUUCAGCUGUACAAACCCCACAAGCAGGGGUAAACAUUACCCAAAACUUAUAGGUUACAGUCACAUCCAUGUCACUUGCUGUUUAUUAAGUUCGUCUUGCAUACUCUGUCUCAUUGCCAUGGAUUCUUAUUUCCACCAGUACUGCAGCGAUGAACAGCUCCUAGCUUGCUGUUUAUUCAGAUCCUUUUGUAUACUCUGUCCCAUUGCCAUGGCCUCUUACUUCCACCGGUACCAUACCAGUGCGCUAAUACAGCAUCGCACCUUACACACAAACGAUGGCAACUUGUAAGAGGCAAAAGGAACCACGAAGAGAGACCGAGCCGGGUGCUCCUAGAUUGCUCUGUGUUUCUAUAUCUUCCACACCAUGUUCAUCGUUCUCUUUGUUCUCUUAAAGGACAGCUCGAGGUCAGCUAACCACAAGAUUUACCACAGCCUAACAAAGGAAGAGGAUGACCCAGUGCCUCGAAAAGCCGGUCCAGGGUCUGCUGAGGAUGGUUCAUUGAUACCAGAACUAUUUCCAUAUGAUGAUGCAUUCGAGCUCACCAAGUCUGUUACAGCAGGUGCAAAAUUCUCCACAAACAUGCCACAAGAAAAGUCUCGCCAGAAGGCAUGUUGAUGUAUGAAACUGUACAAUCCUGAAGAUCUACGCAAAUGAGUCUGUUUUGGUUGCCAAAGAAGAUCUAGGUGCUUAUGAGAAGGUGGACAUGCUAGAAACAAUACUGGGAUUUUUUACCAAGCUUGAAGAAAACGGGAUUGCAAUUGGCCAAGAGCCCUCUCAGUUGCUUGUUGUGUGGUUCUGAAGGCUUGGUGUAGUUCAUGAAGUCGAACAGGUUCUGAAGGAGCUCUUAGAAGACAUGAAGACCAAGCAAACAGUUGCAGUAUCGGUGGAACAGAGGUUAUAUAGCACUAUGACACAUGAAUCGGGAAUAAGAAGAUAAUUAUUUUAGAGAGGAUAAAUACCCGUAGCAACGCACGGGCAAUUCUACUAGUUAAGUCUAAUUAGUCCAUGAUUUGAUAAUGUGGUGCUACAGUAACCACUUGCUAAUGACGGAUUAAUUAGGUUUAAUAGAUUCGUCUCGCGAAUUAGCACAGGGUUCUGCAAUUAGUUUUAUAAUUAGCUCAUGUUUAAUCCUCCUAAGUAGCAUUCGAACAUCCGACGUGACCCUGUUAGCUCAUGUUUGGUAAGAUAUUGUUAGCUCAUGUUUGGUAAGAUAUUGCAUUAGAAAGAGAAGGGCACAUCAUGCUAAGAAGAUUUAUGAAUAACUAGUACCUUGUUGAGCGCAGGAACUUUACCAAACAUGCCCUUGUGUUGCGUACUGGGUGGGUUCAACGCGACCGAGUUCAACCGAAAGCACAGACCGCUCGUUCCUUCCCUAGCUAUUGUAGGCUCCUCCCCGCCGAACACGCCUCCCUCUCCCUCCAUGCAGAUCAAGGCAUCCUUCCACCGCAGCUGUGCCCCUUGCCCUUCCCUGGUCGUCCUCGUCCGCUCUAGACUGGCGUGGAGUGGAGAUCCGUAGGAAUUCCAAUUGAUUUCUUCUCUUGCUGGUAAGCGAGACGGGCUUUUGCUUCGGUUGGGUUGCGCAUUUUGUUGUACGCCUACGAAUUCGAAUCUUCCAUUUUGCCCGGAAUGGAUUAAUGUGUUGGGUGGUCGAGUAUUUCAUCGAUUCAUUCCGCUUCAUUUUUUAUUUGUUUAUUGCAUCAGCGCUCAAUUGUUAAUCUGUUGUCUUGGAAAUAUCAAACCAUUUUAAUAAUGUUUCAGAAAAAAAAUGGUACGCAGCAUUGGGUGGAUAGGAGAUCUAUCUGUGCAUGGGUUGAUUGCAUAUAAGAACGUAUGUGUUACGGUGGAUCGGACUGCAAAUUCCUUAUUGUUAUUCAAUGUAUAAUUUUCUCUGAUAUCAUUGAAAACGACGUUUCAUGUCAAUUUGUUCUGAAUAACUUCUUGUGAUGCCGAGGUCCCAAUGUUUAUGUGCAGUUGCAGGUGAUCGAGAUUCAAUACCUGAAAAUAGGAUGUUGACAUGUUACUGUUUAGAUGACACCCGAUGAUAAUGUGAGUUCCUAAAUGCCGCCCUUUUAUUCUAUUUUGACUGAGCACGUGCUUAUGCGCUAAACAAUUGGAAAUAGUAACACAUACACAUUUUCUAUGUCCCGAAGGCCCUUAUAACUCUCAAAAAAGGCAGCAAGCUUAUCAAGUAUAGCCGGAAGGGAAAACCAAAGAUUCGUGAGUUCAGACUUUCUAGUGUAAGUUCUUACAUGCACUAGUGUAAUACCAAUCUUAACUUCUCAAGUAUCUCUUUGCAAUAAAGAAACAACAUAACAUCCCUCGAUGAUUUUGCAUUACAGGAUGAAACAACACUAGUUUGGUACUCCCACAGCAAAGAGAAGUACCUUGUACUGUCUUCUGUCUCUAGAAUCAUUCCUGGACAGAGAACUGUAAGCCAAAACACCACUUUACAGUUACCACUGAGUUAGAUGGUUGCUUUGCUGAUACAGUCACAAUCACAGUUUUUAAUGAUAGAAAGUUUAUUAAGGCAUAGGGAUUGACAUAAAUGAAUUCAUCUUUUUUUUUUCGCUAGGCUGUUUUUAGGAGGUUUUUACACCCUGAGAAGGACUACCUAUCAUUUUCUCUGAUAUACAAGAAAGGUCAACGUUCCCUUGACCUGGUAAGAUGUAGAUGUUUUGUACUCCUUUUUUCUAAUGAACUAGUGGUAAAAGUUUUGUGUUUAAAGAAAGAGGCCAUCCACUUGAGCUCAAACCCGAGGGCUCCCAAAAUGUGGGUACCUCCAUGAGAACUAAAUUCAAGUUUCAUGAGUUUUUUGGCCAACCAGAGUCUGGUACCCCCCUAUUUAAGACAAAACCAGGGGAUGUCAUUUCCCCGUGGUCAAGUUCUUUGGGUAUAUCUAAUACUAUGAUCUGUGGAAGACAUUAGUUACAUGAGAUUCUAGCUGAUCUACAGGGGAUGUCAUUUCCCCGUGGUCAAGUUCUUUGGGUAUAUCUAAUACUAUGAUCUGUGGAAGACAUUAGUUACAUGAGAUUCUAGCUGAUCUACAGGUUUGCAAGGAUCAAGCUGAAGUUGAAGUCUGGUUUUCAACACUUGAGACACUUAUUACUUCUACUUCAGGCCGUAAAAGUUGUUCGACUGAUGGUCCAAGUGAUAGGCUUUCAGUUUCUGAUGUGAGUUGAUAUUCUUGAAUAGCUGGUCACAUUGUUUACACUGAAAUCGAAUAUGUUACAAUUUCUUUCUGUGAGUUCUAGUUUAAGUAUUUGAGAUUGGAUUCAGAUUUCAUCAGUACAUUUGUUGGGCCUUGGUUGGGAAAUCUAAGUUUUGUUUUGAAGUCAAGUUCUAUGAAAAGCCAGAAGUAAUAUGCCUGAGAAGCUGCAUUUAUAUUAUACUGUGAUGCGCACAUAAAUCAUGACAUCUUAUCCUUCUUGAUUGUACAAGGUUAUAAUUGUUAUCUAGAAGAGACUAUAACUUAAUCGUGGAUGUGAUUUAUGGCUUUGACCGACAAACGAAGCAUGGAGGCACCAUUUAGUUCUUAUUUGUGCUGUGUAUUAGCUAGCAUCUAAUAAACUACCGCUACUUAGUUAUAGUUUAUCCACUUAAGAUUUCUUGUUUCAGUUAGUCUCUGCCUUACCUUUGGUCAAAUGUUGCAGAAUUUUCGAACUAAAUGUUUCUUUCCUUUUCCUUUUCAGGAAGUAUCACACUAUCAAGAUAACAAUUUUCAUGAUACGACACUAGAUAUUGCCUCAAGUAUUACACGCACUUUUAACUCAGGUGCUUACAGCGCAACCAAUUCUCUCAGUUCAGCAAAAGCAGAUGUUGGAUCGGAUCGUGCAAAUAUGCUAAGAGCAAGUACAGACGGUGGUCGGGUUAGCAUUUCCAGCAGCGUUCCUAGUUCUUCAAGUCAAGGUUCUGGACAAGAUGACAUUGAAUCCCUUGGUGAUGUUUAUGUGUGGGGUGAGGUCUGGACUGACGUGAUCCCGGCAGAAGGAUCUUCAAACUAUUUGUGCUCCAAAGCAGACAUUUUAAUUCCCAAACCGCUGGAAUCAGAUGUUGUUUUGGACGUACAGCAGAUAGCCUGUGGUUCCAGGCACAUUGCUCUUACUACUAGGCAAGGAGAAGUAUUCGCAUGGGGUGAAGAACUUGGAGGGCGGCUUGGUCAUGGGACUGAUGCAGAUAUUAGCCGUCCUAAACUUAUUGAAGCCUUAGCAGUGUCAAAUGUAGAAUAUAUUGCGUGUGGGGAGUUCCAUACUUGUGCUGUAACUUCCUCUGGUGAUUUGUAUACUUGGGGUGAUGGAUACUACAAUGCUGGAUUGCUUGGACAUGGUGCUGGAACUAGCCACUGGCUUCCAAAACAAGUCUCAGGACCUUUAGAAGGGGUUCAGAUACUGUCUGUUGCAUGUGGCUCAUGGCAUUCAGCACUGACCACGUCAAGUGGGAAAAUUUUCACUUUUGGCGAUGGGACAUUUGGAGCUCUUGGACAUGGAAAUCAUGAAAGCGUUGCAUACCCAAAGGAAGUUGAAACUUUGAGUGGAUUCAGAACAAUGAAAGUAGGCUGUGGACUCUGGCAUUCUGCAGCUAUUGUGGAGACCAGUAAUCAGGCAGGCGUGAAUGUGGUGUCCAGGAAGCUAUAUACCUGGGGUGCUGGAGACAAGAAUCUCCUAGGUCAUGGGGAUAAAGAUGCUAGGCUAGUUCCUACAUGUGUUCAAUCUCUCAUUGAUUAUAACUUCCAUCAGGUGGCCUGUGGACACAGUAUGACCAUCGCCCUCGCUACAUCUGGUCAUGUUUUCACAAUGGGGAGCUCUAGCAAUGGUCAGCUUGGGAAUCCAAAGUCUGAUGGUAAACAACCUAGCCUGGUACAAGAUAGGUUGGCAGGCGAAUUGGUUGAAGAGAUCGCCUGUGGCUCAUGCCAUGUUGCAGUCUUGACUUCACGAAGUGAAGUAUAUACAUGGGGGAUGGGAGCCAAUGGUAGGCUGGGGCACGGUGGUGUGGAAGAUAAGAAAAAACCAACCCUUGUGGAAGCAUUAAAAGAUCGUCAUGUUAAAAGUAUCGCAUGUGGUUCGAAUUUCACUACCUGCAUUUGUAUACAUAAGUGGGUUUCAGGUGCAGAUCAGUCUGUCUGCUCAGGUUGUAGGCAACCAUUUGGCUUCACAAGAAAGAGACACAAUUGUUACAAUUGUGGUCUUGUCCAUUGCCAUGCAUGUAGUUCAAGAAAAGUACUGAAAGCUGCUCUGGCACCAACUCCCGGCAAACCACAUCGUGUAUGCGAUUCAUGCUUCAUGAAACUGAAAACUGCAGAGACCAGCAGCAACAGUUCAUAUCACAAAAGGAAUGUCAAUGCUCGUCGCUCCGUUGAUAGCAAAGACAAGUCAGAGAGGCCAGAGAUAAGGCCUUCCAGGCUUGCAACAGGAUCACCAGCAGAACCACUCAAGCAAGCUGAGAUAAAAGCAGUUCGAAAUGAGAUAAAACCAGAUCCGAUGUCCAUGAUGAAGGCAGGCCAAGUUCCUUCCAUGUUACCUUUUAACAAUCUCGCUUUUGGUGGAACGUUUGGCCCAAGUCUAAAGCCUAUGGCAAUGGCAGCUGCAAUGCCAAUGGCCAUGCCUAUGUCACCGUCUCCUCUCAUGAAGAAGGCAAAUCCACCUGCAGCAGCUCCUCUCUGUGGUAAAAGUGACACUGAUAACUUGAAGAGGACUAAAGAUGGGCUGAAUGAAGAUAUAUCAAAGUUGCAGUCUCAGGUAUGAUUAAGAAUACUGUAUAUUCUUGCUACUAUAAUUUUGUUUAGCUGACACUGAUAAACUUAUUGAACUUUUAACAGGUAAACAAAUUGAAACAAAAAUGCGAUGCCCAAGAGGAACAGCUGCAGAAAUCGGAAAGAAAAGCUGAAAAUUCUUCCUCUAUAGCUGCAGAAGAGUCUUCGAGGUGUAAUAGUGUCUUGGAGUUCAUUAGGUUUCUUGACAAUGAGGUACAGUAUUAAACUAGUUCUGCAAGAUACAUACACAGCUCUUGAGCUUUCACGAUGAAAUUUUAAGUGCUUACCAUGAUGCGUACUUGAGACCCAAUAAUCUACCAUUUUACAGUACCAUGACUUCUAUAAUCCAAAUCAAAUACAAAUAGGGGUGUGCUUCAAUAAUGUUGUGAAUGAAACAAGCAUAAUGUUAAAAGCAUUUAUUGUUACCUUGGAACAUAGAAUAACCUGAGUUGAUAUAACCUUUGUCCUUUCUGGUCUGUGUACGUUUUCUUUCUUAAACAAAUGACAUGCAGCUCUCCUAAGCUUUGUAGUAGCUCAUAGAAUAAAGGUUUUUUCACUGUACGUCUGUACGUGUUUGCUGGAUCUGUCUUGGAUGAUGCUCACUGUAUCACGUCCAUUCAUUCUUCAGCUCAAGAGUAUCGCAGAUAAGGUGCCCGGUGAUACUGCUGACAGCUUAAAAGCCUUGCAAAGUCAAUCAGAGAGAUUUCUUACAGGGCAAGGUAUUCAUCCACUGGAAGUCACAGGUGCCAGUGGACGUGCACAUGCUACAGCGCAUCAGAGGUCAGCAAGCAUGGGAAAUCUGAUGUUGUCUCAGGAUGGAAGCAGUGGAACUGCCAGUAGCUCGGCCACUUCCUUGACGAGUGAAUCUCCAUGCCACCGUAUCAUGGAAAACAGCACGAAAGCUAAUGGCGACUUUGCGCCAAAGCUCGGUACUCACGGAGAAGUGCAACUGAUUGAGCAGUUUGAACCAGGGGUGUAUGUGACACUCAUCCAGCUGAGAGAUGGUACCAAAGUUUUCAAGCGUGUCAGAUUCAGGUAACCUAGCUACCACAGGCCCUCUUCCUGAAUACAGCAUUGAUUUCUGAACCUUAUCAGUACCAAUCACUUUCGUAGUACAUCCAAAACACCAUAAAUUUCACUUUAUGUCGAGAUAAAAUUUGUUUCCAGGAGCUGAUCAUUUACUCUCUUUGUUUUUUUCCCCACGACCAGCAAGAGGAGAUUUGCGGAGCAGCAGGCCGAGGAAUGGUGGAGGGAGAACCAGGAGAGAGUCUUCAGGAAAUACAACCAUCCGUCUAACUAAGUUCAUCAGAAACCGUCAUAGAACACAACAUCCCAGCAUUGUGAGGAAAAAAAGUAGGAUCAUCCACCCUUCUGAGCUUAGUUGCAGACGAGGUAUUGGGCGGGAGAGGCAUUGGACAAUGGCGCUCCGAUCGGUGCUUGAAGGAAGUCCAAUCUCUUGCGGCUGUGUUCUGGUGUUAUAGAUUACUGGAUUUAGAUUGCGAACUGGGAAGAUGCAAGACAUAAGUCUUCAUCAUCCCUUUUGCGCUUGCUUUACUGAACAUGGCAGCUGGCAGUUCGUGGUGUCUUUCCUGACAAAGCGACAGACAGUAGCUUGUUGUGAAACCUUUCUUCACACCUCGCAUAACCUUUUGUUUCAGGAUUUUGAUAUCCAUUCAUCCUUUUGUUUUUCCCCCCUUGAGGUUACAAUGCCGAACCUUGUAUGAAGAAAGUAGAUUCUUUUUUUUUCAUUUGGCUGAAAAGAAAGACAUGCUCUCGAGUGAGGUAAAGGUAAGCGAGCUUAUAAUGUUUCAGGUGAUCAUGUUACAUGUAUCCUUCAAGAAAAUGCAUGCAUGCUUUAUUUGGCCUAGCAGAUCGGCCUGCCGGCGGCGAAAGAUCCUCAUGCACCUCUACUGCGGCUCCGCCCCGUGCCCGCGCCAGGCAUGUCUGCAAGCUGGGCCUCACGGUUGGUUCCAGAACCCGGCGCACCCUCCUUCCUACCUGCGGGCCACACGGCAACAGCAAUCCCGCAGCCUCCUCCGCUCAUGCGCGCGCCGGCCGGCCAAUGCAACGACAGCCAGUCAGCCAUCGAGGCAGCCGAGCUCCACCGCGGACACAGCGAGCCGCCGGCGAGGCAGCUAGCAGCGCCUUCCGGCACCCAACUGAUCCACGCCGCUCGUGCGCCUCGUCGGGUACAGCGCUAUCCUCAUAAGCAUUUGACCUGCACUUAUAUUAGCCGAUUUGAACAGACGUGCGGCAAGCACGGGUCAAGCAAAAACCCCUCAUGAUAUCUAUCCCUCAGCUUUGACCAUUACUAAUCCAUUAAACAUCCGUGCGGCAAGCACGGGUCAAGCGCAAACCCCUCAAGGUAAACAGGCUGUGAUGAUGAUGAUUCUCCAACCGGCAACCUCGUAGGCGGCGCCAUCCUGCAGCUGGUACGUACAGCGCUUGGUGUAUAUUAUCCUCAACUGUGAUGUGGAUGAACCACACUACGAUAAAAUAUAUAUGCUAACCGAUGAACAGGGCAUUUCAUUGCAGGUGGCAGCCUUUUUUUGGGUGCUGCCAAUACUUCUUUGCAACAUAUGGGGGCAGUCUUUUUGGUGGUUCCAUUUUUUAAUAAAAAAUAUAGACAGAAAAGAUUUGGACACUGCUUGUACCAAUCAAGCAGAUCUUUUUUCUUUUGCUAUUAUUACUGAACCUGAUUAAUUUUAACGCAUGCAAUUUAUUUGAAAUCUUUUGCCAACCGGUUUUAUAUGACACAGGCAAUUGUUAUUUAUACGUACGCGUCUUUCUUCGAUCCUGCAAAUUUCAUUGUAGACACCAGAUUAGAGAUGUAUAAUGCCAAGGUGUGUUCUUUGGUGCAGCCGAUGGACUGAAACUAGGUGCCUUCUCAUUUUGGUGCUAAUUGCAAUCGAGUUACUCCGAAAAUCUUCUUGUUCCUUAACCUCAACUUAAAAGAUCCAUUAGUUAGGUUCACGUCAAUGCGGGAUAUCGAUCGAUCGGAUCAUCAUCAGACUACAACCGGGAUCAGAAAGUUGGCUGGAUAUAUAGCUGCCUACUUCGACGGUCGGAGUAGGAAGUUGAUCGAGCGGAUGAUUGUCCUUUUUGACGGGCUUAGCAAUUGCAACCUGUCCAAUUACUGAACACUUGCCGAAUGGUCCUCGCCGUGGAAAGGUGAUGAGCGGUCUCCAGGUUCUGGUAACAGAGCUGACAAAAACAUGCAUUCGGCCAUUCACGGAGUUGUAAACCUGUCUUAUGCCCAACACUCGGGUGCUUGGAUUUAGUAUGACGAAUGAACGUGACCGUCUCGUGACCAAAGGAAGAAACUUUUUAUCGUACGCAAACUUUGCCGUGUAGCAGGGGCGGAUCCAGAACGGGGCUGCGCCCCGGGCUGAGCUGUUGAAUCACACCUAAAAUAGUCUAAUUUUGUCUCCUAAGCCUCAUUUUGUUAGGCUAAACAGCACAUAGGUUAAAGGGACUCCAUGGUCUCGCCCCGAGCUGCAGCCCGAGCAGCCCGGGCCCUGGAUCCGCCCCUGCCGUGUAGUUGCCUGAAACCUUUUGUGUCCAGAGUAUUUCAUCACCAGCUGUGUUUGCUGGGUUAAAAGCCAACCUCCUCGAUAAGCGCCCAUAACUGAACAUAUUCCGACAAUAGCUCAACUGUAAGGUCGUGCAUGAGGUCUCGGAUCCAUUGGUCCUCCUGCAGGGCCUCUUCCACAGUUCGAUUUUUCCUCUUGCUGUGCUUGAACAGGUUAGGGAAGAGGGCCUCUGGGGAAGUGCCUUUGAAGCUUCGAUCCAGAUUGAUGUCCAGAACUCUGCUAUGUGGCCAUUGUUGACAUUGACCUUUGUGGCUGCAGUAAAGAGUGCAAUGUCUUUCUCAUCAACCAGCAGCUCCAUCCACCCAUGGUCGGCUCGGGCACACGGCUCAAAAAAGGAAUCUAAAUCUGUAAUGCCAAGACCACCGCCAUAUAGAUGCUGGUUACCGGCCCAAAAAAAAAAACGGUCCACGUGCCUUGUCAAAAUCUAUCAUAAACUUCUUGAGAACUGCUUCAGCACUCCUCUUUUAGUUUUUUGGCACGAAUUUUAAAGCGUACCACCAAUUAGUUAACUAUUUUCUUAAUUACCUCUCGUCUGGGUCUCGAAUGGGCCCGGUCCUACCCUUGCCCAGCUCAUACCCGCCCGUCCCAUGAUCCAUCCCCGUCAUUUCAUUUAGGAUUUGAAUAUUCCGUUCGUUCUGUGUGUACCGAAUUGUAAUACAAAUUGGAGGAAAAUGUGCAUAGCUUAGUUGGUGUCCAUCCCCACCAUGUAGCUAGAUUUGAGUCCUUAACUCGAAAUCAGGUAGCCAUCAUGCAAAUUUGUUAAUAAAUUAAUUUAUGUUACUUUUUGUGUUUUACAGAUAAAGUCUUUCACAAGUGAUGUCCUGAAAUUUCACCGGUCCCGCACUAGUCGCCAAGUGCAGCAUCCUUAAUUCCUUACCCUGCUAUUUCGUUCUAGCUGACGCUCCUGAUGCGCGCGCCGGCCAACGACGACCGCCGAGGCAGCCAAAGCGCACGCGGACGCACAAGCGCGGCGAAGGAUGGCCGCGUCCCGGCGCCCAACUCCACGCGCACGCGCGCCGUCGCCGCGUCGCGUGCGGCGUGCCCGUGCUUCGAAUUCGACUGCAACCGCGCGCCGCUCGCACCACCCUAUCGAGAGCCCGCGACGCGACGCUCCAAUGGACGCCGCCGCGGCGCCGCUCGUGCGCCUCGUCGAUCGGCCGGGGCAUCGCGGGCGCGGGACAAUGGCCGCGGUGGGAGAGGCACCGAGCCCCGCGCGAUGUCGCUGAUACGUGUUGGUUUAGUCCCACAUCGGCCGCGCGGGAGGGGUUACCGUGAGACAAAAAGCGCGAUCCGGAGGCGUCUACCACGUAGUUAGCAAAUCUCAUAAGUAUUCUGAACGAUCUCCGAGUCCAAGCAAUCAGGUACAGCGCUGCACUCCGAUCUCUUUCAUCCAAGCUCUGGCUUGAUGGAUACUAUCCCAGUAAACAGCCGUGCGGCAAGCACGAUACUAGCAAAAUCUCAUGGCAUAAAAAGCAGGCGGCUGAUGGAUGCUCCAACCGCGGCAGCCUUUUUGUGCUGCCAAUUCUUUUUUUUUCAGUAAUUUUUGUUGAAGGCUGCUUGCAAAUUUGAUUUUUUUUUAAAACUAGGGGGCGUUUAGUUCCAGUUGCUUAUUAGCACCUGUCACAUCGAAUAUUUAGAUACUAAUUAGGAUAUACGUAGACUAUUUACAAAACCAAUUACACAGAUAGAGGCUAAACGGCGAGACAAAUCUAUUAAACCUAAUUAGUCCAUGAUUUGACAACGUGCUGCUACAGUAAACAUUUGCUAAUGAUGGAUUAAUUAGGCUUAAUAGAUUCGUCUUGUCAUUUAGCCUCCAUCUGUGCAAUUAGUUUUAUAAUUAAUUCAUAUUUAGUCCUCAUAAUUAGCCUCUGAAUAUUCGAUGUGACACAAACUAAACUUUAACUUGAGGAACAAACGCUCGCGUGUGUGUUCGAGGAACAAACGCUCGCGUGUGUGUUGCUUGAUGCAACCGACGGAUCGAAGGGGGUGUUUGGAUACAGGGUGCUAAACUUUAGGAGUGUCACAUCGGAUGUUCGGAUGCUAAUUAGAAGGACUAAACAUGAGCUAAUUAUAAAACUAAUUGCAGAACCCCUACACUAAUUUGCGAGACGAAUCUAUUGAGUCUAAUUAAUCCAUCAUUAGCACAUAUUUACUGUAGCAGCACAUUGUCAAAUCAUGGACUAAUUAGGCUUAAUGGAUUCGUCUCGCGAAUUAGACUCCAUCUGUGCAAUGAGUUUUAUAAAUAGUCUAUGUUUAAUACUCUUAAUUAGUAUCUAAACAUCCGAUGUGACGGGUACUUGAACUUUAGGAGGUGUAUCAAACACCCCCGAAUACACACCUAUAGCCCUGAACGCACGAAGCAGACCGUGGGUAGCACAAGAGCGCACACAGCUCGUUUACGACAAUUAUUGUCAGCACGCAAUCAUUUGUGAGAACAUGCAAGAUUACAGCUUAUGCUAGCAAGUGCUAGAUACCUGACAGGGUAGAGCAUACAAAACACCUUCACCUGAUAUAUCGUCCUGUUUCAACAGGCACGAAACAAGAAAUGCCUAGGCGAGGCCAGCUAGCAAACAAGCCAAACACGCCCAAAGACGCCGGACGGCACGCC